RNAcentral lists this long non-coding RNA (82043 nucleotides) under Setaria italica (foxtail millet). Its description in RNAcentral is "long non-coding RNA (SITA_LNC003869)". Lineage: Eukaryota; Viridiplantae; Streptophyta; Magnoliopsida; Poales; Poaceae. The record is from RNAcentral.
AAAAUUUGGUUUUGCUGUUGUACCAUGUCACUUUGAAGUUCCUUGAUGUUAGCCUCUGAUUGCUGUAACUGAGCGAGUGCUGCAUUUUUCUCCGCUUGCAGUGCCAUAACCUCAUUAUACAGAUCAGUCUUUCCUGCUUCGAGGUCUUUAUUGGCCUCCUGAAGUUUUGAAAUCUCUUGGACUUGUUGUUCUAACUUGCUCUCAAGAUUAAUAACAGAAGUAGCAGGUUCAUUUUUUUGUCCUUGUAAUUCAACAAUUUCAUUAUGCAGGUUAGAAUUUGCCAGCUCCAGGCCUUCAUUAGUCUUCUGCAUAUCUGAAAUCCUCUCAAGUUGUUGUGCUAGCUCAGUCUUAAGAUUCAUCAAAGAAGCCUCUAGCUGCUCUAUCUCUGACAUGGCAGAAUCAUUAUCCUUCUGUAGCUCGGCAAUAUUACUUACAAGAAUCUUGAUAGAAGCCUCAGACUGCUGCAGAUCUGAAAUUAUUUUGUUCUUUUCAUCUUGUAGUGCUAAUAUUUCAGCUUGGUGACUAAACUUCGCCUCUUCCAGUUGCAUCUUCAACUUGGAGUUACUUUUUUGUAGGUCUUCAUUAGCAAGCUGCAGGUCAGAAAUUUGUUCAACUCGCUGGUCUAACAGAACUCCAAGGGUCUUGAGUGAAUCAUUUGACUUCUGUAAGCUAUUAAUGGCCUCUUCCUUCACUCCUUGUAGCACAAUGAUCUCAUCUUCCAGAUUAGUCCUUAUCUCUUCAAGUUGCUUGUGUAAACUAGAAUUUGUACUCUGCAGCUCUUCAUUUUCUCGCUGGAAAUAUGAAAUUUGGUUUUGCUGCUGUACCAGGUCACUUUGAAGUUUCUUGAUGUUAGCCUCUGAUUCCUGUAACUGGGCGAGUGCUGCAUUUUUCUCCUCUUGCAGUGCCGUAAUCUCAUUAUACAGGUCAGUCUUAGCUGCUUUAAGGUCUUUGUUGGCUUUCUGAAGAUUUGAAAUCUCUUGGACUUGUUGUUCUAACUUGCUCUCAAGAUUAAUAACAGAAUCAGCAGCUUCAUUUUUUUGUCCAUGUAAUUCUACAAUUUCAUUAUGCAGGUUAGAAUUUGCCAGCUCCAGGCCUUCAUUAGUCUUCUGCAUAUCUGAAAUCCGCUCAAGUUGUUGUGCUAGCUCAGUCUUAAGAUUCAUCAAAGAAGCCUCUAGCUGCUCUAUCUCUGACGUGGCAGAAUCAUUAUCCUUCUGUAGCUCGGCAAUAUUACUUACAAGAUUCUUGAUAGAAGCCUCAGACUGCUGCAGAUCUGAAAUUAUUUUGUUCUUUUCAUCUUGUUGUGCUAAUAUUUCAGCUUGGUGAAUAAACUUCGCCUGUUCUUGUUGCAUCUUCAACUGUGAGUUACUAUUUUGUAGGUCUUCAUUAGCAAGCUGCAGAACAGAAAUUUGUUCAACUGCCUGCUCUAACUGAGCUCCUAACGUCUUGACUGAAUCAUUGGACUGAUGUAAGUUGUUAAUGGCCUCUUCCUUCUCUCCUUGUAGCACAAUGAUCUCAUCUUGCAGAUUAGUCCUUAUCUCUUCAAGUUGCUUGUGUAACCUAGAAUUUGUACUCUGCAGCUCUUCAUUUUCUCGCUGGAAAAGUAAAAUUUGGUUUUGCUGCUGUACCAUGUCACUUUGAAGUUCCUUGAUGUUAGCCUCUGAUUGCUGUAACUGAGCGAGUGCUGCAUUUUUCUCCGCUUGCAGUGCCAUAACCUCAUUAUACAGAUCGCUCUUUCCUGCUUCGAGGUCUUUGUUGGCCUCCUGAAGUUUUGAAAUCUCUUGGACUUGUUGUUCUAACUUGCUCUCAAGAUUAAUAACUGAAGCAGCAGCUUCAUUUUUUUGUCCUUGUAAUUCUACCAUUUCAUUAUGUAGGUUAGAAUUUGCAAGCUCCAGACCUUCAUUAGUCUUCUGCAUAUCUGAAAUGCUCUCAAUCUGUUGUGCUAGCUCAGUUUUAAGAUUCAUCAAAGAAGCCUCUAGCUGCUCUAUCUUUGAGGUGGCACAAUCAUUAUCUUUCUGUAGCUCGGAAAUAUUACUUACAAGAUUCUGGAUAGAAGCCUCAGACUGCUGCAGAUCUGAAAUUAUUUUGUUCUUUUCAUCUUGUAGUGCUAAUAUUUCAGCUUGGUGACUAAACUUCGCCUCUUCCAGUUGCAUCUUCAACUUGGAGUUACUAUUUUGUAGGUCUUCAUUAGCAAGCUGCAGGUCAGAAAUUUGUUCCACUCGCUGGUCUAACAGAACUCCAAGGGUCUUGACUGAAUCAUUUGACUUCUGUAAGCUAUUAAUGGCCUCUUCCUUCACUCCUUGUAGCACAAUGAUCUCAUCUUGCAGAUUAGUUCUUAUCUCUUCAAGUUGCUUGUGUAAACUAGAAUUUGUACUCUGCAGCUCUUCAUUUUCUCGCUGGAAAUGUGAAAUUUGGUUCUGCUGCUGUACCAGGUCACUUUGAAGUUUCUUGAUGUUAGCCUCUGAUUCCUGUAACUGAGCGAGUGCUGUAUUUUUCUCCUCUUGCAGUGUCGUAACCUCAUUAUACAGAUCUGUCUUGGCUGCUUUGAGGUCUUUGUUGGCUUCCUGAAGAUUUGAAAUCUCUUGGACUUGUUGUUCUAACUUGCUCUCAAGAUUAAUAACAGAAGCAGCAGCUUCAUUUUUUUGUCCUUGUAAUUCUACAAUUUCAUUAUGCAGGUUAGAAUUUGCUAGUUCCAGGCCUUCAUUAGUCUUCUGCAUAUCUGAAAUCCUCUCAAGUUGUUGUGCUAGCUCAGUCUUAAGAUUCAUCAAAGAAAUCUCUAGCUGCUCUAUCUCUGAUGUCGCAGAAUCAUUAUCCUUUUGUAGCUCGGCAAUAUUACUUACAAGAUUCUUAAUAGAAGCCUCAGACUGCUGCAGAUCUGAAAUUAUUUUGUUCUUUUCAUCUUGUUGUGCUAAUAUUUCAGCUUGGUGACUAAACUUCGCCUGUUCUUGUUGCAUCUUCAACUGUGAGUUACUAUUUUGUAGGUCUUCAUUAGCAAGCUGCAGAACAGAAAUUUGUUCAACUGCCUGCUUUAACUGAGCUCCUAAGGUCUUGACUGAAUCAUUUGACUGAUGUAAGUUGUUAAUGGCCUCUUCCUUCUCUCCUUGUAGCACAAUGAUCUCAUCUUGCAGAGUAGUCCUUAUCUCUUCAAGUUGCUUGUGUAAACUAGAAUUUGUAUUCUGCAGCUCUUCAUUUUCUCGCUGGAAAAGUGAAAUUUGAUUUUGCUGUUGUACCAGGUCACUUUGAAGUUUCUUAAUGUUAGCCUCUGAUUGCUGUAACUGAGUGAGUGCUGUAUUUUUCUCCUCUUGCAGUAUUGUAACCUCAUUAUACAGAUCAGUCUUGGCUGCUUUGAGGUCUUUGUUGGCCUCCAGAAGAUUUGAAAUCUCUUGGACUUGUUGUUCUAACUUGCUCUCAAGAUUAAUAACUGAAGCAGCAGCUUCAUUUUUUUGUCCUUGUAAUUCAACAAUUUCAUUAUGCAGGUUAGAAUUUGCCAGCUCCAGGCCUUCAUUAGUCUUCUGCAUAUCUGAAAUCCGCUCAAGUUGUUGUGCUAGCUCAGUCUUAAGAUUCAUCAAAGAAGCCUCUAGCUGCUCUAUCUCUGAUGUGGCAGAAUCAUUAUCUUUCUGUAGCUCGGCAAUAUUACUAUUCAUAACAUUUAUUGUUGAUUUCAGUUCGUUUUCUAGAGCUUUAACACUAGACUGUGCCUUCUCUAACUCAUUCAAGUACAUUGAAUUUUCUGAUACUAGUCUUUCUUUUUCUUCUGCUGCAGUACGACGCUCCUUGUCCAGAUUGUUCAUUAGCUCUGCGGCCUCCACUUUAAGGCCUUCUAUCUCUAACCCCAGUUGCUGGAGUUUUCUUUCAGCUGAAUGAUUUUCUGUGAUCAAGGAUUCAUUUUUAGCGGUGAUUUCUGCAAUGGCUGCCUUCAGUUGAAAGCACUCAACAUCUAAAUUCUGAUGAAGUGCUUUCAGGUUAUCAUGCUCAACCAAUAGCAUCAAGUUAUCAUUCUUCAGCUUCUGGUUUUCUUCCAACAAGGUCUGCACUUCUUUCUCAGCCUGUUGGGCCUUCUCAACUUCUGCUGAUAGGAGGUUGCAUUUGUCCAUUGUUUCAUUCAGCUUAUUCCUCAGAUCUUCCUUCUCCUUCUCCAUGUCUACAAUUAACAUCUUCAGGUUAUCUCUCUCUUCUUCAAUAAUCUUCUUCUCACAAGACAAUGUUGUGACCUCAGUCUCCUUGGAUUUUACGGUGUUAAGCAAUUUUCCUUCCUCCCUUUUUGCAGUUUCAACUAACAAUUUCAUAUUUUCAUUCUCAGAUGACAAAUUUGCAAUCUCUGAACUUGUAGCUUCUUUAUCUUUGAUUGCUUUAUCAAUUAGCUGCUUCAGAUCAGAUAUUUCCUUGGCCUGUUCUUCUGUACUUUGUUUCAGCUUCUCAAUCUCUGCUUCCAUGUUAUGAUGCUCAGUAGGCUUAUGGUAUAGGUUGUUUUCUUCCUUCACUGCUACUUUUGGUGCAGUGACAUCAUUGUCUGAGCUGUCUCCUUCUGUGUCUGAAUCAGAUGAAUCUGAACCAGAGAAAUUGUAGCCAACAUUUUCUAGUUUGCUAAUUAGUUGCUUGUAGUGCUUGUGAAGGUAUUGAUAGUCCUCAUGGAAGCCCCUCACAAGGGAAGACAGCUUUAAUUUCUUGACAGGAUUUCCAUAAUCAUCUUUUUCAUUCUCAGUCUGCUCGGUCUCCUCUCCUAUCAUUCGCAAAAUGUUCUCCACAUUCUCAUCAACAUCUGAAAAACCAAAAUAGCAACUAUUGUUUUCAGACUAUGACUCGCUAGAAAUAGGAUAGCUAUAAGUUGAACAAGCCAUAAUUCUUCUUGAAAAAUGUAACUAUAGCAAUGCCAAAAAAACACUUUAAUGGUGAAAUACGAACAUAUAAGACUCAUUCAUGUUCGGUGGGUAUUGGAAUCACGUUGAGAUCAGCCACAAGAAUGUCAAAAAGGAACAACAGUAGAUCAGUAGGAGUUUUCAUCUAUGUAGAAACUGCACUUCGAGAUCUCUAUGCCAACAUAAAAAUUCCUUUGAGUAAAUAUUAGUCAUGAAUUAAGACAGUACCCUUUUUGCUCUCAAGAAGAUACUUGGAUUUCCUAAUUUUGUGUUUCUUUGUCAUAAUGGCGUUCUUGUCUCCACAAGCUUUACUAUUUCUUUGCAGGAAAUCUUUCUCAGACAAAAUUGAUCAUAGCUGAGGUCGUAUGAUGCUGCAAUCCUGAAUAGCUUUGCGCCUGAAAUGGUUAAAAAAACACAAAGACAAUGAAUGGGAAGUCAUCUGUGGAUAGUAUCUAAUCUUAAAUAGCAAAAUUAUCGAAAGGAAGAUCAAGAUAAAAAAAACAGGUGGUUCAAUAGAAACUAUUUAACUAGUUAAUGAUUGAAAAAUAUCAUCUGCACUUUUCACACAAAACAACUGAAUAAGUAUAAAUUGGAAAAGAUGGAAGCCCCUCUGAAGGGGUAUAUAUAACCAACUUUUGCAAAAUAGGAGUUGAAUGUACAGCUAUAUUUCCAGAGUGCACAGAAAUAUUAAUUUGUGAAGCUUAUAUCCAGAAUUUGGAGCCUAAGUUAGUAGCAGCAGUAACCUUUAAUGCUCUUGCACUAAGACGAAGUAGAAUGGCAAGCAUUUCAAGCAUGGAUCGUAUAUCCUAUAACUAAAUAUGCACUUCAAAUUAUAAAGUAAUAUAAUUUACGUCAUAAGGUCUUGAUUAAAAUUACAAAUAGUUGUUUCUCUGCAGGCCCGUUGUUAUGUCAUGAUCUCCUUCAUUUGUAUGCGGUAAUAUACAGCAUGGAUCGUAAGUGGUCUAUUAAUCAAAUAAUUGAUAUGGCCUCUAAAAGUUUAAAACGUCAAUUUUGACCCUCUACCAGGAAUAUUUCCAAACAUAUGCUAUAUCAUGAUUUUUAGGACAAUUUCAUUAUAUCAUGCUUAACAACAUUUGGGUAAGUGGAAAUGUAAUCUCAGUGAUAAAUAGGCAGAUAAGAUGCCAUGGUUGGUGACCUGGAAGACAAUCACUUGUAAAAUCAUUACAUUUUUCAUUUUGGAUCUUGACAAAUUAUGCUUGGCAGGAAAAGUUUUUUUUAUAAACUACAACAGUAUACCCAUUAACAGUAUAUAUUGAGACUAAGGUACUUCUUUUAGAUAACAAACAAUGGUACUUGUGGAAGACACUUUGGAGGCUCAUAUCUGUUGCAUUAUCUUAGCUUUGUAAUAAAAGAAGACAGUCUUGAUGAUUUUGCAAAGAUUGCUGAUAAACACAUCAAUAUUUAUAGAUUCUUCUAUGCCAAAAAAAAAAACAAAGCCAUCUCAAAACCAGAUUCUGACUGAGCUAAAUUGCAAUGCAUGGAUGAGUACAUUAUAAAACGUUUGGUCCAGUUCCAUCCGCCAAAGUUGCGUGGGUGCCCAAAAUUUACAAACCUUUUGGGCAGCACAACUUCAGACAUAUCUAAAAUGCAUAUGGGUAGGCCAUAGUGAGCCAUGCUGAGUGUCAGCCUUCUGCUAACAGAAGUAUAACAUGGUAGUAUCUUCGGCCUGGAACUAUCAUGGUCUCUGUUGGAAACAGUACACAUAUGCGAUCUAAUUGGGGAAAUAGCAGCCCGAAGGAAUUUUUGUCAUACGAAAUCAAUAAACAUCACGAAUGUAACGACACGCGGGACCCGACCAGUGCUGAAACAGUUAGGAAACUAAUCCAAGAAGAUAGAAUUAACAAGUGACGAGUGCUAACCACUCCGCUAAUAUAUUCAGAUAUCAAGGAAGGGAGAAAAGGAAAAAAAACAUGAAAAACAAGAGAAACAAAGGCGGAGGUUAGGAACAGAGAAAGAGAUGCUUAUGACACUUAACGCUUAUUCUAAUCUAGCAUCUCCCUCACUCUAUGCCAGUUGCCAGUUGCCACAUCAGAACGCACACGACCAGGGGAAGAUUUGGGCCUAGGGCCACGACCCUAGGCGUGGCCCAAAUUGCCCCUUAUACCUCUCCUACAUUUUCCAUGACCCAGCUAGCAUUUCUGUGGACUGGCCUAGGCGUCGCCCAGCAGGCAGGCAGGCAAGCAGCCAGCAAGGGCAAAGGCCCACGCAGCCCAAGUUGUACAGGCACAUGUUGACCCGGGAAUCCUAUCUAUCUUUCGGAAGGUGGGACUAAUGUUUUUCGUGCGACCUAUCAGAUUAUGCGUGGUUCGAGGUGCGUGCGGAGCAGCAGCGUGCAGCCAUGCAGGGACAGGUGUCGUGUCGCAAGUGGAGGGAAGUGGGUGGGAUUCUAACGAGAUUUCCAACUAAUCGUGUUUUCUCCUGAACCUUAGAUCCAAUUUGAAAUCCGUUUGAACCAUAGCAAUUUUUUAAAUUAUUGUAACAGAACGAGGUUCAGUAUGUUAUUUUACAUUUUUUUAGUUUACUAUUUCAACAUUUUUAAUAUAUCUUUUCAACAUUUAAUAUAAUAUAUCAACAUUUUUAAUACAUCAUUCGACAUUUUUAGUACAUUGUUUCAACAUUUAAUGUAAUAGUUAAAUAUUUUUAAUACAUCAUUUCAACAUUUUUAGUAUACUGUUUCAAAUAAUAUAUUAUUUCAACAUUUUUUUAGAAAAUGAUGAAAUGCCGCCUGACCGGCUAACGGCAUCGUGCAGUCGUGCCCUCGCCACUCCAUGCAACUGCGCGUCCCGGAAUCCCGAUGCUGCCCUCUUUGCCUGCUCUCUCUCUCUCCCGCUCUCUCUCUCCCUCUCUCUCUCCCCCUCUCUCUCUACAGUCUCCACGGUCUCUCCCUCUCAACAAAUCCGGAAAUCCGCAUCAGCGACCGACAGUAGAGCGGCAGCGCACAGCCUUCUCAGAGGAGUGGAUACUCAAGGCUGGUCCUGCGGCACCUGAGGCUGGCGUGUGUGUGCGGCCGCGCGCUAUUGCCGGCACGCCACUACGGCGGCGCCAUGCAGCCGGGUUCGGCAAGGUGGGAACGGGCGGGCGCCAGUGCGCUCGUGCGGUGCGCGAGACACAUGCGGCAGGUCCAUGCUCCAUCCUUUAUUAAUUCCUCCUCAUCUCCCCAAUCCUUUCUAUUUCAAUUGAACAAAUUUAAUUAAUUUGUUAUUUAUGCUGCAAUUUGUGGGCUUCUACAGUUAUACUAGAAUUACUCAAUGAAGAGGAAAUAGAAACAGAAGGAAUGGGUGCUACCAGUAUAAGUACUUGUCGCUAAUACUGGGCUAUGCAUUCCCCAUUAUCCUUUUUCACAAAUUAACUGUACUUUGCAUUUUCCUUGCCUAAUUCAUUUGAACAUAUGAUAGGUGUGGACGGACCAAAUCAGCACCAGUUAGGUAUUUUUUGAAAAUUUCCAAGUUUUUAUUGAGUUCAUUAAAAAAUUAGGUUUGGAAUUAAGACUACUAGUCCAUCAACCCGUGCUCCCGCACGGGCUAAUGUUUUUAAAGCCAUCGUAUUUAAAAAUUAUUUAAAAAUAAAUUCCUAACUAAUAAUCAAAAUUGUUUACCUACGGGCAUUAUCAUUUUUUCAAUACUUCAACAUAAUACUCAUAUAGGUAUGUACUUAUCUUUGCCUAGCUGUGAUUGAUUUUUAAUUAAUAGUUAUCCUACACACUUUUUCAUUCACAUUCACACUUUUUUCAUCUUGUAUCGCACCUCUAUACAUUAUGUUUAGCAUAAAAAUCAAUAUUUUUCAUCAAUUUCUCACAUACAUGUAUAAAUGGUCUAAAUGGUGACACUCAUCAUGUGCAUAUACUUUAACUUAGUAUUUCUAUCUUCACAACAACAUAAAUAGGUAAUUUAGAAUUAUAUAACAUUUCUUUAUUAUGCACGUGAAGAUAAUUAGAUUAAGAUUUAGGUAUUUACUUUAGGUUAUUUUAAUAACAAGGGUAACUAAGAUACAAAUUACAACAGCAUUUUAAGUUAUGCUUUAUAUAAUGAGAUGUAUGAGUAAAUUGGAUGAAAAUUAUGAGGUUAUUUUAGAUUAUUUUUUAUAAUGGCCGAGCUUUAUAAUUUAGAUAUAAAUUUGGAGUUUAUUUUUGAAUAUUUUCAUAAUGAUAGUGGUGGGUAAAUAUUUAGAAAAUAUAAUAGAUCCAUGAUUAUGAUUAUUAGAGUUUAUAGGAUUGAUAUGUUUUUAUUUUUGUGAGAAUUUCUAUUUGUCCUUUUUUUUUCUACCGUGCCUCAUGGGAACUAAUACAGAGUCUCCAAUAGAAAAAAAAAUAAGACCACAUUGCUACAAAACUUGAGCUACCUCUUAUUUGUUAAAUAUUCGAACACAAUACUUAUAUAGAUAUAUACUUAUUAUCUUCAUCCGAUUGUGACAGAUAUUAGUUAGUAAUUACUCUAUAAUAUUUUCAUCCACAUUUAUAGUAUUUAACUUUUCACUUUACAUCACAUGUAUGCGCUUGCAUUUGAUUAAUGGACCCUAAUUUUGAGCCAUAAUUUUAACAUAGAAAUCUAUAUUUUUAUCACUUCCUUUAUAUCUUUAUAAAUGGUGACACACAUCAUGUAUAUCUUAAUUAUUAUAUCAUAUACCAACGGUGUAAGAAAUAUAUGAUUUAGAAUCAUAUAUUGAUGUAUAUUUUUAAUUAAGGUGAUUUGGAUUCAAAUGCAGGGUUACCUCAUGUUAUUUUUGAUAAUGGCAUACAUGGGUAACAUAGAUGCAAAUUUAAGGAAUUACUUUAAGUUUUUUAAGUAUUAGUGGUGGGUAAUUUAGUUACAAAUUUAGGGGUUAUUUUAAAUAUUUUUAUAAUGGUAUAAGUGGGUAAUUUUGAUAGGGGGCUAUUUUAGUUAAUUUUAUAUAAUGGCAGAGAUGGGUAAUUUAGAUAUAGAUUUAGGGGUUACUUUAGACUAUUUUCAUAAUGGUAUAGUGGAUAUUUUUUUUAGAAAAUAUAAUAGAUUCAAUGGCUACGAUGAUUUGAGUCUACCGACAGAUGUUUUGCUUUUUUUUAUGAAUUUCUAGGUUUCUCUCUUUUCUAAGAGUGUCCACCUAAGAACCACAGGUGGCUUUACCUGGAGGCUUCAAAAGAACUUCCAAUUAGUGAUAGUAAGAUACUCUAAAAAGCAUAGCAUGCAUUUGAUAUUUUGCUGCUGUGACUAUCGCUAUGGGAGCUAAUCUGGGUGGUUCAACCGCUUAGAUAAGUGGCCCUAGGCGUAGAAAUCUGCCAGCUCCGCCACUGCACACGACCCAACAUAGAUCCAUCCAAGAACACACACAGCCAUACGGAAAUUUCUCCACUACCGCAAGAACAGUAAUAUCACAGCAGCACACCCAGAUAGAGAAACGAGGAACUAGAGGGAGAAAAUAAGUGGGAAAAUCAAGAAACGUACCGCCGAAGUGCCGCCUUCUCCUCCUCUACAGCUAUCUCCCACAACUUCUUGAACCCGAAACAAGAUCUGACAAAGACGAAAAGGAAACCAAGCAUGAUCAAAGAUGGCACACCACAGUUGCAAUUGCAAGUAGGAAAAGCAGAGAGACCUGUCACCUGCCAGAUCAAAACAGGGGAGCACGCCCCCAACAAAAAGAGACGAAAUGAAACCAGACCAAGGCGCAAGAGGAGCAGAGUUACCUGAAGGCUAGGAUGAAUCGCUUGCUCGACGAAGCAAGCAGAGGCCGCAGAGAACCUGCCCCAGAGGCUUCUUCUCCACUAGGCUCUGGCUCUCUGAUGUGUGGGCAGCGUUACAAAUGCGCACAACUACACAAGUGAGCAACUCUCGCCUUGUCCUUUUGAAGCCUCUGCAGCAUCUACCUGAGCGCGGCCUGCCUUUUUGUGAUUUUGUAUCGUCCAUGUCUCGUUUUGUCUCUGCGUUCCCGCCUUAACGCUAGGGAGCCAGGAUCUUCUACUUCAGGACUCAGGACAUAGGAAACGUAACUCAUGGACCCAUGGGCAAAAGCACAAGUACAGAAGCGCUAGAAUGCAUUAGAAUAUGCUCUGUUUGGCAUGGCUCCAACUUCGGGUGGAGCUGCUCCACUCCAGAAUUUCACAUGGAGCCAGCUCCGCUCCAAAACUUCAGAACAAAAAUGGGAUGUUUGGCUAGAUGGGUGCUCUCAGCUCCAAAAAAGAUCGAUUUCAGUGUGGAUUGCCAUUGUUGCCCCCCAAUUAAGGCUCCACUUGUCAUCCUCUCUAUCCCAUCUUCUUCUUCCCCUUUUUCCACUGCACUGUGCCGCACACGGGAGACCCUCCACGGGCGGCGGCGUGGGCGGCGGGCGGCGGGGUGGGCGGCGACGGGCGGCGGGGUGGGCGGCGACGGGGGCGGCGCUGGGCGGCGACGGGCGGUGGGGCAGCUUGGGCGGCGACGGGCGACGACCGGGCGGCGGGCGGCGACGGACGGCGGGGCCGGCCAGCCACGGGGGCGGCGACGGGCGGGGCUCUGGCGGCGAGUGGGGCUCGGGAGAAUAGAAUGAAAUAUUUUUUUGUGUAACCAGUGGUAUUGGUGGGUAAUUACCCACCAACUCCACGAGGAGGUUCAAAAGAGAGGUUUCUGAAGUAGCAAAAGAGGUGCUCCAAAACUCCACCUCCAUUUGCACUACAGCUCCAUGGAGUUGGCAACUCCAUGGAGUUUUGGAGUUGGGGUGUUUGGCUGAAUUUUUUGAUGGAGUUGCUGGAGUUUAGGAGUGGAGCCGUGCCAAACAGGGCCAUAAACCUUUUUGGUAAAUUAUCAUGAAACCAUUUUUUCUAUUCCACACACGCAAAAAAAAGAAAAUUCUUCAAACCAUGUAUAUGCAAAAUCCGUCCUACAUAACCUAGGGUCAAUAUGGAAUAGCCAUGCUCUUUUAGCAUGGGUCUCAGUAUGUUAACAUGUGUAUAAACGUCACAUUCAUCAAGCUAAGCUAUUGUAGUCUUGCAGUAAUUUGCUAUGAAAAACACGGUUUGAGAUAGAAUUGUUUCAAAAAUGGUAUAGCAAAAUACGAGUCUCAGCUUUUUCUCUACAUAUCCAUUUUGUUUAAAAAAACGAGUCCCAGUCAUAGGAUGCUCUUCUAGAUUAAAUAUGAAUAAAGCCGUUUACUGUGAAUUGCAAUGACCUUUCAAAAAGGCUCGGUUCUUAGACGAUGGAAGGUGGGAUGAAGAGCGGCAGCAUUCCGUGCCACUCUCUUCCUCAUGGAGACAAUCAUUGGUCACGUUUCUUUUUUGAAAAAAAGUGUACUUUUCUUCCCUCAAAUAUUGCAAAAGUGUAAUAUUCAUCAUUCAUGUUUCAUUUGGUGCAAAUCAAACCCUUACCUAACUAAACCGGUGCAUUUAUCAUCCCACCUUAAUUCAACAAUGGUUUAGUGUUAUAUAAUAUCAGUUUUGCCCAUGUAAUCUAGUCCCUGCUUAGCAGCGUCUGAUGUUGAGUCAAUCGGUAUAAUAGUUCGGUGUGAAUCCAUUCUGUUGAUUUUCUGAUAAAUUUUUAUGGGAUAAGCAAUUUAGAGGAUUUUUGGUUUUUUUGACUUUAUAUAUUCAACUCAUCAUAUUACACGCUAAGCAUGGAUUAGUCAGAUGAUUGUGCGGCAUAAACCUCCGUUAUAUAGCACUUAACCACUGUUAGAUUAAGUGGGAUGAUAAAUGCACCAAUUUGGUUAGUUAACGGGUUGAUUUGCACCAAAUAAAAUAUGAGAGGUGAAUGUCACACUUUUGCAAUACAUGAGGAUGAAAAAUACACUUUUUCUUUUUUUUAAUGCCACCAUCAUUGGUCAUGUUUGUGGCGCAAUGGUGGGACCUGACGAGGACGGCCUCCUUCAUUUUCGUCCAUCACAUAGUGCGCGGCUUUGCUUUUGUUCCUGUUGCCUGCCCGGGAAAGAAUCUUUUGGGGUUUCAGCACCGUGGACUCCAUGCCGUUCACUGUGUUUACGACUUGUCAAUCGGUGCAAUGACGAGACGCAUAAUGGUAAUGAACUGUAACCUUUUAUGCACGUCAGACAAACAAUGUGAGAACCAUAUGCAUAUGCAGUAUGAUGACAAUAGGAAAAGGAGAAGCGCAGCCGUUCACUGCGUUUACGACUUGUCAAUUGCACCACGAAUAGGAAAAGGUGAAGCGUAGCCGUUCACUGCGUUUACGACUUGUCAAUCGGUGCAAUGACGAGACGCAUAAUGGUAAUAAACUGUAACUCUUUGUGCACAUCAGAUAAGCAACGUGAGAACCAUAUGUAUCUAGAGCAUGAUGACGAAUAGGAAAAGGCGAAGCGCAUGUAGCAGUCAAGCAUCUGAUAGGAACUCAUUUUCCCUUUCUUUUUUUUUUUUGAGCCUCUGAAGCCUGAUGGUAACAGUUUGUAACGACAUGACGAGAUGCAUGCAACUGAUGUGGACAAUGUGGACGAGUAUGACGACUCAUAAAAUAAAGAGAUUGCUGUUUGGAGAUAAUGUAGGAAUUUGUCCGGUGUAGAAUUUUGAGAAAAAAAGAAAACCUGAUGCUGGUUUCCUUGGAGCAGAAAAAUUGCAACAUGGGAGCCAUAGGAGAGAGCUGAUUCCUUUUAGGGAGGCGGGCUGUGGAGGAGCUACAGAUAAAAAUUGGUGUGGGCAUCACACUGCGCCUGACCCCAAUAUUCCUUCCGAAUUCCGAUUGGUGGUUCAGAUCUCAGCAGCGCCGAUCGAUCGAUCGACCGACCUGUAACGGAACCGGGACGUGGACGGAGCAUGCGACCGUGACCUGUGGGGGCUCCAAUCCGUUGCCUCUGUAGUCUGUGCGGGGGCUGCGAGACAAGACGGCAUGCACUGUGCGAGCAUGUUAGCUGCAGCGCCGGUUGUACAUGCCUCCGUCGCCUAUAGCGAACCGAAGCCGGAUAGACGAGAUGGAAUUUUUUUAUUUUUAUUUUUUUUACGAUUUUGCAGAAAUAAAUAGCGGAGGAAAAAAUUAGCAAAUAUAGACGUAUGCCGCCAGAUGAAAUGGCGGUAAAGCUGGAUAGACGAGAUGGAAAUUUUUUUCAUUUUUAUAUAUUUUUUUACGAUUUUGCAGAAAUAAAUAGCGGAGGAAAAAAUUAGCAAAUAUAGACGUAUGCCGCCGGAUGAAAUGGCUACCGCCGUUUCAACCGACGGUAAGAAAAGUUACCGCCAUUUCAACUGGCGGUACAUAUGCAACGAAUAAAAAAAAUCGGAAACGGGGUGUCACGUUAACAACCUUACGACACCGUGGUGCCAGGUCAGCACGCGGAAUAUUAGCAGCCGAGGAGCCCACUGACUUACCGCCGGAUGAAACGGUAGUAGCUGGUUACCGCCGGAUGAAGCAACGGUAACAACCUUCCAUCGAUUCAAACGACGGGAGUGGGAAGAUCCCGCCAGAUCAGUCAACGGUAGGCGUCCCCACCCUUUAAAACGCAAAGAACGGCCGGGACCGAGCCAGAGGUGCGUGCCGGUUCAUUCGGGGAGAAAGAAGAGAAAGUGAGGGAGGAGAGGAGAGGAGGGGAGGGGAGGAGGGUGGAGAUUGAAGCGAAGCUCUACCGGAUUUGCUCUUCGCUUCAGGUAUUAUUUGAAAGCUCGCAGUUUAUCUUAACUUGUAGUUAGUAGAUGUAGUAGUCGAUGUGAUUUAUAAAUGGUGUAGUGUUAAGUAUUAGAUCAAAUCUAGGUGUACAUAUGAGAUAGACAAAUAUUAGUUGAAUUUAGCUUAGUUAUUUUGGUUAAAGUAAAUUUAGCUUGUUGAUUUAUUUAGAUAACUUUAAGAUUAAUAUUAUUGGAAAUGUACGAGUUAUAAUUUUAUAUAGUUAUUCAGAAUGUAGGUAUUUUUGGGAUUAGUUCAAAUUAAUAACAUUUAGUAAUAAUGUCAUUCAGGUCGUGUAUAAUUUUAUAUAGUUUUUCAGAAUGUAGGUGUGAUUAGGGUUAGUUAAAUUUAUUAAUAUUUAGUAAUGAUCUCUCUUGAUGUCGUGUAUAAUGUCGUGUAUAAUGAUAGGGUGAAGUAAAAUUAAUUUGUUGAUAUAUUUAGAUAACUCUAAAAUUAAUACUAUCGGCAAUGCACGAGUUAUAAUUUUAUAUAGUUUUUUAAAUGUAGGUGUUGUUGGAGUUAGUUAAAAUUAAUAACAUUUAGUAAAAAUAUCUGUUCAUGUCGUGUAUAUUGAUAGGCAUGUCAGACAAUUUAUUUUUCCAAGUGUUCUAUGGUCCGAGGGAGGUUAGAUAUGUUUCAGAAAGGGUAGAUUUGUCUGAAUUUAAGUCGUUCUGGAAACAAGUACCAAGAGAAAGAGAGAAGACUUGGGCAUCAAUAUGCAAUUGGCUAUUUAAAUCUUUCAAGCUUGAUAGAGAUCAAGUUGAGCUGUCUGUUAGGGCUGUAGUGAGGUUUCGAACUAAUAUAAUAUUUUAGGAGUUGAUUGUAACAACUCUCCCUAAAUUAAGUGCUUUUAACUAUAAACCAGUGAUAAAUCCCUAAUUAAAGAAGUGAAAUGACCUUUAUAACCCUAAGAAGCUUUUUUUGGAGUUUGAAAUAAAGCUUGAAAUUUUAUAUACAAACUUAAGUUUCUGCCCAAAUGAGAGUUUUAAAACUUUUUAAUUCAAACAUCUUUUGUUAAAGGCACUUUGACUAAUUCGGAGCGGAAGGGAGUCAAAAACAGCAAUCAAAACCGGUUUACUAAAGGACCCUAAAAAUCUCUUAAGUCCUGGAAUUCGAGUUUUCCUCCAUCUUUGCAAGCUUUCAUCUCACAAAUUCCUAUCUAAACUCGAGUCAGGGCCUUAAUGAAAGUUGUAGUACCUCGAGUGUGUUCCAACCUUGUUACACUGACCCAGAUCCAAAUCGGGUCCGAACCUGUUCAAAACCCCGGUCAAAGUGAGGUAAAACAGUCAACUCACCCCUGAUGCCUUAAAAUCUUAAGUCUGGAAUUCCAGAUUUUUGGCUAACUUUGGCAUGAAAUAUCUUCGAAUCCUCUCACAAUCUAAACCGACACCUUCAACAAAGUUCAAAGAAUGUCCAGACUUGAGCAAGUUUGUUUAAAAGAGUUUUGGAAGUUGUGUUGAAAAAUCCGAAGAAAGAUCUCCCAAAAGCUGGUCGGGCUUGCUGCCCGAAGGGAGCCUCGACGCCCGCGCGCCAGAGCACGUUCGCUCGCGCGCCGCGUGGCCGCCGGCCACCGGCAGCUCGCCGGUGCCCUAUCACCAGCGCGACAGCGACAGGACGAAGGCCACGGCGCCCAACCCGCGCCCGCGACAGGACGGGGCGAACGCCGGGCUAGCCAACCGCCGGCCGCGCGCGUGCCGCCUUCCGCCUGCCAUGGCUCUGCUCCGCCAACCCCGUUCCGCCCGUCCGCCGGGAAAGCUGCAAUGCCCACGAUGUCCCGCGCCUCCGCCUGCUCGCCCAACCCCCACGGUAGCCCUCCGCCUCGCCCGCCCGACAGACCGGAAGCCCCAGACGCGCGCCACCCAAGGCCAAUCGCCGCCGAAGACCACCCGGAGCUCCGCCUCCUCUGCCCAAUGGCGCCGCUGGCCAAUGAUCGCCUUGCCCAUGCACUCGCCGCUCCCGGCCUUAUCCCUUCCCCAUCGGAGCCCCGCCUCGACCCUCUGCCCCACCCCGGCCGUAUAAAAGGAACCCCCUCACCGGCAAUGCCACCCCUUGCCACCGCCCGCACCCGCGCCACCGCUUUCUCCUCUGCGCCGCCGCUGAGCUUCCGUGGAGCUCACCCCUCUGCGCCACCCCGCACUCCGGCGACUUCGCCGCCACACUCUUGAGGAAGUUUCCCUCUCCGCUCAAACCGCUUCUCCCACAUCUAUUAUACGUGCGCAGGUUCCGUAUGUUAAUGCAUGCGAAGGAUGGUAUGGUUCGAUUUCAACGAGCCUAUCAUCAUGGUUGUUCGCCCACGUUUAUUAUACGUGUGCAUGAUUCCGCAUCACGAGAAUGCGAAGGGUUAUAGGAGUCCAUUCAAAGGAACCUAUUUCCACGGUUGUUGCGCUGUCCAUGCAGCGUUAAAUGCAUGGGUGUCGUUUCUAUAGUGAACGGUAAUGAUUGUGGACGCUUUCCUGAGUGCUAGCAUGGAAGGUUCAAGCUGUGAUGUGUUUUUCUGCAGGUACACUAACAACGUUGCGUUCGAAACGAUGCCUAGUAACUCGACUAGUUAUUAUAGUGAGAGUUGUAUUGUUGCCUUGCCACCGGCACUAACCACGUAAGUCCAAAGAUUUUUGGCAAUUAUUUUUGAUUGAGAGGACCACUAGGACGUGCAUGCAUUAAGAAAUAAAAAUCGCAACCUAAGGAAAUAAAAACCAAACUCGAGUGCGUCGUAAAAAGAAAUGCACCACGUUAAGGAUUGUCUAGCUGUCCUUUUUUCCGCCAUGCACGGUAAAAUUAAUCUUUCAGGUGGAUCCGCAUGAUAACUCUAGAAACUUUAUAUAUAAGAAAGUUGUGUUAAAAUCUCCCAAGUAAACUGCUGAAAAAUUUUCACAAGGUACUACCAUUUGGGUUGAGAGUUGUGAUCAGUUUUGUGACCCCCUGUUAGCUGUUAGCCCUAAGUGCACACCAGCGGAGUUUCUUCUGUUUCGACCACCUUAAGGACCUUUUCUGUGAGGAGUCCUUUAAGCAAAGUUUUUCAUAACUUAGUAAAGGACUUACUGGUAGAAUUUCAGCUUUGUUAGGUCUCUGGUUUGGAAGUUAUGUUCAGAUUAUCUUGGCUUGAUCUGAAAAAUUCCAGCAUGUACACUUAAUGGAAAUCUGAGAUUACCACCUUGUUAGGUUCUGUCCUAGCCCUACCUUUGAAUACCAAACUUGUUACACACAAUCUAAAGAACAUGCUGGUAAAAUUUGAGAAAUUUUGGAGGAAUACUUGCUGAGUUAUGAGCUUUCUCUAACUGCUAGAAAUCUGUUUGAUUUCCAAGUGUUAAUUCUGUUUCUCACUUGACCUUUGGUUACAGAUGGCGCAGCCCGUGCACAUUGCAGUCGGUACGGAUGGCACCACCUACUCACGGUGCCUUCACUACGAGGGUUUCCCAGCUAUGUUGUGGGACACUCUGCGCUCUUUCGGGUACCAGUCGCCGCCGGUCUAUGCGGGACGUGCGUACCAGGACCACGGGAUUCCGCGGAGCCGCGUGCACGUGCGGGUACCCCCGCCUCCGGAUCAGCCACAAUGGCCGCUGUUGGAGGUGGUGGCCGAGGGACACACGCUCCACGACACCUGGGAGUUUGCAGCCUUGCAGACCUUGACACAGUUCUGCCGGGCACACCCUCUUGAGAUCGUGCUGGACCCGAUUGGGUUGUUCCCUGCCCGGGAUACGAGGGACCCGGACUGGUUGGAUCGUAUGGAGCAUAUGGACUUGCUCGGGCUUAUUGAUCCACAGUGCACGAUUUUUGUUUCAGCUCGUUGCCUGAACGUGUUCUACAGGAUGGUUGAGCUGCAGAGUCGAGCGAUGGCUUUGGUGAUCGGGAUGGCAGUGGCCAACCAGGUUGCCUUGUCUACCGUGCAGAGUGGCAUGGUGGACCAAUCGCUCGAGCUGGUACAGAAGGAUGUCCAGAUUGGUGAGAUGCAGGAAAAGAUUACUCGUUUGGAAGAGGAGAUUGUGGAUAUGGAGCACGAUAUGGAGAUCUUGGCUGACCAGUUCUAUGAUGUGAACAUGGAGCUGGCGAACACCAAUGAGCACCUGCAGGAGCAUCACGAUGAGCUUAAUGCCAUCCACGCCUUAGAGGUGCAGCAGGAUGAGCCGAUGGCCCAGGAGGAGGAGCCCGAGGAGAUCGAAGGCUUUUCGAGCAUGGACUAUGAGGAUGCCUCUCCGCAGCCUCCAGUUGGUGAUGCUCACUCUCCGGUCCUUAGCUUUGCCUCCAUGGGCAACCUCGACGACUUCUAGUUGUGUUGGCUGGUUGUUGAGCAGUUCUCUUUUGUUUUUACUCCUCGACGACCUAUAUUUUGGCCAGUGAUGUAAUAGGUUAGCUUGAGUUGAGUAUUUGGGUAUUGGAAAAAAAAACUGAUUCUAUGUAGGAUUGUCAUUGCUACCUCUGGUGUAAUGUCUGAAAAUUAUGGUAGAAUUGCAGUGACGGUUUCUCCUCAAUUUUACCCCUGUCUCCACUCGUUUUUGAGCCAAAGCUCGUGUACCAAAGUUGUGCGAAAACUUCUAUCCUAGCUACUCGUAAAGUUUCAACUCCUUCGGAUCUGUCAAACGCCCGCUAGAGCCAAAAUCCCACUGCUCAGCUUGCUGAAAAAUCAAUUGGACAGCAACCUGCUAGAACAUCUAAACGACCUCUUUCCCUUCCUUUUCGGUCAACAAGCAUAACCUGAAGGUGGUUGUGAACAACAUAUACUAACCCUCGCUUAACGAUGAGAACCAUGUGCCCUUCAAAGAAGAGAUAUGCAAAGUUGAUUGUUGUUUUUGCACCAUCAGCAAGACUAGCUUUUAUCCUUUCCGCACAUAAUGUUUCCUUAUGGUUAAACAAGAUUUUGGGGCUAUGUGACUAAUGGAAAGGUGAAUCUUGCAGAUGGCGCAUCGCACACGCUCCGGCUCCGUUCCCAGUGGCAGCGAGGUGCCUCCCCCACCUCCGCCUCCGACCACCCUCGAGUCGAUCUUGGCAGCUCAAACCAAGCUGUUGAGGCACAUCGCUCAGGGGCAGCAGCAGCAGCCGCCCCAGGGAGGAAGGGCCCAUCAACAGCCCCAUGUUGCUCGCUACGAGGAUUUUCUGGGGACCCAGCCUCCUCUGUUUCACAAGACGGAGGACCCGCUUGACACCGAUGCCUGGAUUCGCGCUAUCGAGUCCAAGUUCUCCCUUCUCACCGCCCAUUGCCCGGAUGAGAACAAGGUUCGAUUCGCCGCGCAGCAGUUGCGUGGUUCUGCUCUCCUGUGGUGGGAUCAUCACCACGCCAUGCAGCCAGCCGACCACGUUGUCGGUUGGGAGGAAUUCAAGACGGCGUUCAGGGGCCAUCACAUCCCUGAGGGUCUUCUGGAGCGCAAGCUCAACGAGUUCCUGGCUCUCACCCAGGGAGGCCGCGAUGUCCUGCACUAUGCGCAGGCUUUCAAUGACCUGUGUCGCUAUGCAGGCUAUCAUGCGGACUCCGAUGAGAAGAAGAGAGACUGCUUCCGUAGAGGCUUGAGUUUGGAGCUCAAGGAAAGGCUGAAUCCCAUCAAAGUGGAUUCCUACAAUGAACUGGUGAACCUGGCAAUUUCCCAGGAAGAUUGCAUGAGGUCCCUCAAGGCCGACAUGAAGAGGAAGGCCCCAAUGCCGGCACCCGGCCCGCCUGCCCAAAAAUACAGAAUGGUUCCCCCACAAGCGCCUCGCAGGCCCGCACAGCCUGGGAGAUGGGUUGCUCGACCUCCACCGCAGGCAGCACCUCAUUUCCCUGGAUUCCAGCCGCAAGGGCCCCGACCUGCUCUUCCGAUGCCGCCGCGCCCAGUCACUGGAAACCGCUGUUUCACUUGCGGGAACCCAGGACACUUUGCCAAGGACUGCCCCCGCAACAAGAAUCAACGACCCGGUCAGAGCAAUGCACUAGGAAACAAGGGGAAGAAGCCGAAGGUUCAGGUCCGACAAGGCCGGCUGAACUUCACCACCCUUGCUGAACUUCCAGAGGGCGCACCAGUGAUGACGGGUACCUUUUCUAUCUAUAACCAACCCGUCCUUAUUCUGUUUGAUUCAGGAGCAUCUCAUAGUUUCAUUGGGACUAGAACCAGUGCUAAGUGUGGGUUAGAUUUCUGUCACACCAAAGGUACCUACAUAAUCUCUACCCCGGGUGGAAAGGUAGCUUCACACCAAGUGAGCCGCAGAGUACCUAUCCAGUUAGGGAGAACCCUUCUUAAGGAAGACCUGCUUACCCUUGGGAUAGAAGGAAUAGAUGUUAUCUUGGGUAUGGAUUGGAUGACCCGACACCGAGUGACCCUAGAUAUCCGUGCCAGGGCAAUCCAUAUAAAUUCACCCAAGUAUGGUAGCUCAACUAUACACUUACCUCCCCGAGAGUGCCAAACUUCUUGUGCCUAUCCCGUGUCUGAAGCCCGAUUGGAAGAUAUUCCAGUGGUAUGCGAGUAUCCGGAUGUGUUUCCAGAUGAUUUGUCGGGUAUGCCGCCUGAGAGAGAUAUCGAGUUUGCCAUUGAGUUGCAACCAGGUACUGCCCCAAUUUCAAAGAGACCAUAUCGGAUACCACCAGCCGAACUGGCAGAAAUGAAAACUCAGUUGCAUGAUUUGUUGGAAAAGGGUUUUAUUCACCCAAGUACAUCACCUUGGGGUUGCCCCGCCUUGUUCGUGAAAAAGAAGGACGAUAGUCUGCGUAUGUGUGUGGACUACCGACCUCUCAAUGCGGUGACGAUAAAGAACAAGUACCCACUACCCCGCAUUGAUGUUCUGUUCAAUCAGUUGGCUGGAGCUAGAGUGUUUUCCAAAAUUGACCUCCGUUCUAGCUACCACCAAAUCAAAAUCCGCCCGUGCGACAUUCCAAAGACUGCCUUUUCUACACGAUAUGGACUCUGCGAGUACUUAGUCAUGUCAUUUGGGCUUACUAAUGCACCGGCUUAUUUCAUGUAUCUCAUGAAUUUGGUGUUUAUGCCCGAACUCGACAAAUUCGUCGUGGUAUUCAUUGACGACAUCUUGGUGUACUCGAAGAAUGAAGAAGAACAUGCAGAACACCUAUAUACUGUACUCCAACGUUUGAGAGACCACCAACUCUAUGCCAAAUUCUCUAAGUGUGACUUCUGGCUGGACAGUGUUAAAUUCUUGGGACACACCAUAUCCAAAGACGGUAUAGCAGUAGACCCAAGCAAAGUGCAAGAAGUAAUGGACUGGAAGCCGCCCACUUCAGUUCAUCAGAUUCAAAGUUUUCUUGGUUUAGCCGGUUACUACCGUCGCUUCAUCCCUGACUUCUCAAAAAUAGCUAAGCCAAUGACGGAACUGCUGCAGAAAGGAAGUAAGUUUGUGUGGAGCGACAAAUGUGAAGAAGCUUUCCACACCUUGAGACAAUUAUUGACUUCUGCGCCAGUUUUAGCUCAGCCAACACCACUAGGCCAUUUGACGUGUAUUGCGAUGCCUCUGGCACUGGACUUGGUUGUGUUCUUAUGCAAGACAGCCGAGUCAUUGCCUAUGCCUCACGAGCGUUACGACCACAUGAGUUGAAUUACCCUACUCAUGAUCUCGAGUUAGCAGCAGUCGUUCAUGCUCUGAAAAUAUGGAGGCAUUAUCUCAUGGGAACCCGAUGCAACAUCUAUACAGAUCACAAGAGUCUUAAGUAUAUAUUCACUCAAGCAGACCUCAACAUGCGCCAGAAGAGAUGGCUAGAAUUAAUCAAGGAUUAUGACCUAGAAGUCCUUUAUCACCCAGGUAAAGCCAACGUAGUUGCAGAUGCCCUCAGCCGCAAGAUCCAUUGUAACUGCUUAUCGGCGGUUAAUUAUGCCGAGACCCUGUGUCACGAAAUGGCUAAACUCAACUUGGAAAUUGUUCCCCACGGCACCUUAAGUCAUAUUUCUCUGGAGCCCACCCUGCUUGACCAAAUAAUUCUAGCACAGCUAGAGGACAAAGAGAUAAACCUUAUCAAAGGGAAACUUGCACAAGAGGAUGAGGGAUAUAAACGUUUCCGACAGGAUUGGAAAGGAGUGGUACAUUAUGAAGCUCGACUUGUAGUUCCAAAUGAUCCCGAGCUUAAGAAACAAAUUCUGGAUGAAGCACACCUUUCCAAGUUCUCGAUUCACCCCGGUAGUACCAAGAUGUAUCACGACCUCCGACAAAAUUUCUGGUGGAGUGGGAUGAAACCCGACAUUGCACGAUAUGUUUCAGAGUGUGAUACCUGUCAGCGAGUUAAGGCAAGCCACUUAAGGGUAGCUGGCCCCUUGCAGCCGCUGCCUAUUCCCUCGUGGAAAUGGAAAGACAUAAGCAUGGACUUUAUAGUCGGACUACCCAAUACCUCCCGCAAGAAUGACUCCAUAUGGGUUAUAGUAGACCGACUAACCAAAACAGCACAUUUCCUUCCAGUACACACCACCCACGCCAUACAGAAAUAUGCAGAACUGUACCUUGAUCGGAUUGUUUCCUUGCAUGGUGUACCUAAAAUGAUCAUCUCUGAUCGAGGUAGUCAGUUUGUAGCACGCUUUUGGGAGCAGUUGCAGUUUUCACUUGGCACUAAAUUGAUCCGUAGUUCCACAUAUCACCCUCAGACCGAUGGGCAAACUGAAAGGGUUAAUCAGAUUUUGGAAGAUAUGUUAUGUGCCUGUGCUAUUCAUUAUGACAAGAACUGGGACAAGUGUUUGCCAUUAGCAGAAUUUUCCUACAACAAUAGUUACCAAGAUAGCCUGAAAAUGGCACCUUUCGAGGCCUUUUAUGGACGUAGAUGCCGAACCCCACUAAGCUGGUCGCAACCCGGAGAGCGAACGGUGUAUGGACCUGACCUGGUCAUGGAGGCCGAAGAAAAAGUGAGAGUUAUCCGCGAAAAUCUCAAGGCCGCCCAGUCUCGACAGAAGAGCUAUUCCGAUCAAAGAAGAAGACCCAUCCAAUUAAAGGUUGGGGAUUUUGUAUACCUACGGGUUUCACCGACCAAAGGCGUACAACGUUUUGGAGUAAAGGGAAAGUUAGCUCCGCGCUAUAUUGGCCCCUAUGAGAUCGUAGAGGUGUGUGGACCCGUAGCGUAUCGAAUUAAACUUCCAGAGAAGAUCGCAGCGGUACACGAUGUUUUCCAUGUCUCGCAACUCAAGAAGUGCAUCAGGAUUCCAACUGAAAUCAUUGCCCCGGAAGAAUUAGAGAUCUAACCCGAUUUAUCAUAUAAGGAGUAUCCUGUUAAGAUCCUCGACCGGAAGGAAAGGCAUACUCGUCGGCAGAUGGUAAAAAUGUACCAAAUUCAGUGGAGUAACCAUACGGAAGACAAAGCGACAUGGGAGACGGAAGAGUAUCUCAACGCUAACUUCCGCGGUUUUCUUUUCGAUCAGGGAGGUACGUUGCACCAGCCACACUAGUUCUUUCUGCACUUGAAUCUCGGGGCGAGAUUCCCUUAAGGGGGGGUAGGCUGUAACAACUCUCCCUAAAUUAAGUGCUUUUAACUAUAAACCAGUGAUAAAUCCCUAAUUAAAGAAGUGAAAUGACCUUUAUAACCCUAAGAAGCUCUUUUUGGAGUUUGAAAUAAAGCUUGAAAUUUUAUAUACAAACUUAAGUUUUUGCCCAAAUGAGAGUUUUAAAACUUUUUAAUUCAAACAUCUUUUGUUAAAGGCACUUUGACUAAUUCGGAGCGGAAGGGAGUCAAAAACAGCAAUCAAAACCUGUUUACUAAAGGACCCUAAAAAUCUCUUAAGUCCUGGAAUUCGAGUUUUCCUCCAUCUUUGCAAGCUUUCAUCUCACAAAUUCCUAUCUAAACUCGAGUCAGGGCCUUAAUGAAAGUUGUAGUACCUCGAGUGUGUUCCAACCUUGUUACACUAACCCAGAUCCAAAUUCGGCCCGAACCUAUUCAAAACCCCGGUCAAAGUGAGGUAAAACAGUCAACUCACCCCUGAUACCUUAAAAUCCCAAGUCUGGAAUUCCAGAUUUUUGGCUAACUUUGGCAUGAAAUAUCUUCGAAUCCUCUCACAAUCUAAACCGACACCUUCAACAAAGUUCGAAGAACGUCUAGACUUGAGCAAGUUUGUUUAAAAGAGUUUUGGAAGUUGUGUUGAAAAAUCCGAAGAAAGAUCUCCCCAAAGCUGGUCGGGCUUGCUGCCCGAUGGGAGCCUCGACGCCCGCGCGCCAGAGCAUGUUCGAUCGCGCGCCGCGUGGCCGCCGGCCACCGGCAGCUCGCCGGUGCCCUAUCACCAGCGCGACAGCGACAGGACGAAGGCCAUGCCCAACCCACGCCCGCGACAGGACGGGGCGAACGCCGGGCUAGCCAACCGCCGGCCGCGCGCGUGCCGCCUUCCGCUUGCCAUGGCUCUGCUCCGCCAACCCCGUUCCGCCCGUCUGCCGGGAAAGGUGCAACGCCCAUGGCAUCCUGCGCCUCCGCCUGCUCGCCCAACCCCCACGGUAGCCCUCCGCCUCGCCCACCCGACAGACCGGAAGCCCCACACGCGCGCCGCCCAAGGCCAAUCGCCGUCGAAGACCACCCGGAGCUCUGCCUCCUCUGCCCAAUGGCGCCGCUGGCCAAUGACCACCUUGCCCGCGCACUCGCCGCUCCCUGCCUUAUCCCUUCCCCACCGAGCCCCGCCUCGACCCUCCGCCCCACCCCGGCCGUAUAAAAGGAACCCCCUCAGCGGCAAUGCCACCCCUUGCCACCGCCCACACCCGCGCCACCGCUUUCUCCUCUGCGCCGCCGCUGAGCUUCCGUGGAGCUCAUCCCUCUGUGCCACCCCGCACUCCGGCCACUUCGCCGCCACACUCUUGAGGAAGUUUCCCUCUCCGCUCAAACCGCUUCUCCCAACCCACCAGCCGCCUGUUCCUCCGCGCGGUACUAGAGCUUGCUAGUUGUCCACAUGAAGCUCCGCCACCGCCGGAGCACCGUCGAAGCCUCGCCACCGCCCAAGCCUUAGUGCGUACGACCUUCCGCCCAAGUCUACUCCUUUUCGACCCCAAGGCUUCACCGGUAGACCUGGAGGUAAGCCGCCGACCCCUUUUUUUCGGUUCGCCCGACCCCUUUCUGUUCGGUUCGCCCGACCCCCUUCUGUUCGGUCGCUUGACCCCUUUAUUUUCGUCUCGCCCGACCCUGUCAGUUUUGCCGACCUUUCCCCGCCUCGCCCGAGGGCUCGGCUGUAUCUUUUUCUUUGACCCGAGGGUAUCGGUGAAUUUUUUUUUCAGGGAUUUCUCUGUGUUGAGUCUGAGGACCUCGGUAUGGUUUUUCCUUAAAUCUGAGGGUCAGACCAUCAGUUUCUCCAAAUUCGACCCUUUUAUCCUGUUCUCCACCAACUGAAGUUGGACUCCCCAACCUUUCCUGUAGCUUUGCUACAAGUGUCUGAGUUAAAACAUGCGAGUGUGUUGAAAUAAUCAUCUAAAAUGUUUAACCCCUGCAUUGCAUUUCCGUGUAGAGUUAAAUCUCGCCGACGGGACUUACGAGCUCCACCCGGCACCGGAAGAAGACCCCGCUGAGGAGCUUCACCCCUUCGAAGGAGAGCCCGAACCGGAGCAAGACCCCGAGGACCCACUAACUUUUCCUGAAGGCAAGCCCCGGUGCAUGAAUUCCCUGUUUUACUUUUAUGCCACUUAUUGAUGCUUAUGAUUGUGCAUUUACGUUGGUAGGAGUUGAUUGGAACCGUAGAUGCAUAAACUUAGUACCUUGAUUUGAAUACUAGUUGCUAAGGUCAAGUAGUUGCAAUGCUUAAUAGGUCCCGGUAAAAGUCGAGUGAUUUCCUGUCACUCGCGAGUUAUAGGAGUUGAAUGUUUCAGUUAUAUCGCAACUAUAAGGAUGACGGACGGGGUCAGGCUUAUGUUCGAUACUUGGUGGAUUGCCCCGUCUGUCUAAAUGAAAAUGGACUAAGGUCGAAACGUGUCGACGUUCGUGAUCAAGUGUUUGAAAGUACUAAUCUUAUACCUAGUAUGGGAUGGGGAAGCCUAGUACCUGAUUGAACUGGGACGUGGCAUACCCUCCGGCUGUCCUUGGAACGUCGUUCCCAUGGUGCAUCAUGUGGGUGCAAGUGCGGUCACAGUGCAGCAAUAGGCCGGGACUGUGGAGCAUUGCACGCCAAAGGUAGUUGGCCCUGACACGUGCCUAAGGGAUCGAUGGGGAUGGCUGACAAAUGAAGCGACCCUUCGUGGUGCGCGGAUGUCGUGAGAUUAGGUUUUCCAUGCAUGGUUAAUAAAUUCGAAUCGAUUCGUCUGCCUCUCACAGUUUGGGACUACUUGAUCGCUAUUCUGCACUGAGUAAAGAUGGAACAUGAUGAUGAUAUUAAUCUUGAUGCUUGUUCUUUAAUUGCUUGGACAUCAUGCUUGUUUAGUAUAAGUUGCUAAUCUAGACUGGAUAAAGAACAUAGAACAUGAGCUAAAAUGUUGAAAGUAAGGACUGACUUUAGACGCUUUUGGCAAAGAAAACCCCAGAGCCAGAAAGCCUUGCAUGUCUAGGUCUUGGUCGUGUUUUUUUCCCCCCGACGGGUCAGUCUUGCUGAGUAUUAGUUGCUCAGCCUUGUUGUGACUAAUCUUUUUCAGGUAAUGUCAAUAGUUUGGUUGCUGGUACCACUUGGCCUACCCAGCUCCUUACAGGCUGGACAGUCGAGUGGGAUCCCUCCUCGGACGGCGAAGGAAGGAAUUUUUGAUGUCAUGAUCGGCUCCGUCGUGAUGUCAUGUAUCGACGUUUGGCUUCCGCUAGUUUUAUUUGACUUUCAAACCUCGCUUUUCGGUCUGAAUUUCGAAAACUCUGAUGUAAUAAAAUGUUGAACUAUGUUGUUGUGAUGGAAUGUUGUAACCUCUGUGCUACUCACCUUCGCGUGAGCGAUGCUUCUCAAUCCUGUUUAUGUGGUUAAUCGGAUGAAUCCGACGGUCGACCAAGUUGACUUGCUUAAAGUGCAUAAUCGCGUGUCAGGUGACUUCAAUGCAUUUUAGUCAGGUUAAUUUGGGCGGUUCCGCCACAUUGAUGCCGCUUGAAGGAACCCAGAACUGGAGGGCCUAUGUAAAUGCUGCUACUGAGCGCGAUUUACCACUGAUAUUGUUUUGUUGAAGUGUUCUAGAAGAUUGGAUCUAGCAAUCAGUUGCAAGAAGAAGUUGGUGGUGGGGAAGUUAGAGGCGAGGAAGGCCUGGAGAUUAUCGAUGGGCAAACUGAAAAAGAUACUGAACAUGGGGUAGAAGAAGAAGAUGCAGAGGAUGCACCCCAUGAGCCAAAUGGCGAUGCUGAUGAGGGGGAACACAUCCCUGGGUUAGUUGAGUAGGUAGAGAGGGAAGGAGAAGAGCAUCUUCAUGCCAUGGAUGAUGACUCGUCAUAUAAGGAUGCUAAUCCUAUCCUGCAGAACUGGUCAAGUUAUGACCAUUCAAACCUAGCAAUAAAUGAAGGGGAAAAUAUUCUUGGGAGUACAGGAAGAAUGAGCUUUGUGUCGGUGCUUUGUACCCUAGUGGGGAUGAGGUGAAGACAGCUAUAAAGCGAUGGUCGACUUUAUCUUUGCAAUGGCAGUUCAAGAUGGUGAAGAGCAGCCGGACAAUAUAUGAUGCGUGUUGUGUCAGAAGCAAUUGCCCGUUUAGGGUGCACGCAUACAAGGGCAAGUGGAAGGAUUACUGGGAGGUGACUAGAUUGGUGGAGCAUGAAUGCGUGCUAGAUGAAUUGGAAGCACAACACCGCAACCUCACUGCUGAUUUUGUUGCUCAAUACAUGUAUCCUCAGGUAGUCGAGAAUCCUAGCUAUGAGCCCAAGUCAAUUAUUUGUGCUAUAGAGGAGAAAUUUAAGUACAAAAUUAGCUACAGCAAGGCUUACCGAGCCAAACAGAAGGCGUUAGAGAUGAAGUGGGGUACAUACAAAACAUCAUAUGAUAACCUCCCUGCUCUAUUGCACAUCAUAUGCUAGAGGAAUCCAGGAAGCUACUGCGACCUGAAAGCCUAUCCCUGGGCUCAGAAUCCAGGCAAACAGGUUCUGCAGCGGUCAUUCUUGGCCUUGGGUCCUUGCAUUGAGGCUUUUUAGUGAUGUCGCCCAGUCAUUUGCAUUGAUGGCACGUUUUUGAAUGGUAGGUAUAAAGGCACAUUCUUGACAGCUAUUGGGUCCGAUGGUAACAUCCAGGUGUUGCAGCUGACGAUCAUCUUUGUGGAGAAAGAGUCUGUAGAUAGUUGGUAUUGGUUCUUGAAGAGGGUUAAGCAGAUGAUUGUGAAGGAUGUGGAGGCCAUUUGUAUGAUUCAUGAUUGGCACAAAGGCAUUCUACGAGCAAUCAAAGACCUACUAAAUGGCAAUAUGGAACGUCACAGGACAACGCAGUGGUCAGACUUGAAGAGUAGGUGGUGCAUGAGGCAUACGGAGGCAAACUUUCAUAGCCAAUUCAAAAACAAGAUCCUUAUGAAACUGUUUAAAUGGCUACGUACCCAGAAUCAGGAGAGGAAAUUCAAUCUACUUUGGAAGAAACUUCAUGAGCUUACAGAGAAACAAUCUGAAGAGCUAGGUAAGAGGCCGGUAAACAGUGAGGUGGACCACCCUGUGUCUCUAGAGGAUGUCGGACUGGAUGGUACAAAUGUCAGGCGAAGACGGGGUAGGUCCAUUAAGACAUUCUCACAGUGGAUUGAGCAUGAGCCAAAGGAAAAGUGGGCAUUACUAUAUGACGAGGGAGGUGCUAGGGACUGCCCCUUGUUGGUAUCGUGGAAUUAUUUUUAUACCGCACCAUUAAUUAUUUCAGGGAUCGGUACGUGGUGGCCAAUAAGUCAAUAGCCAAUAAUCAUAAAAUUUAUGGAUACAAGAUGACAGAGUACAUGGACAAGGUGAUACAAAAGAGCAUCGUGAAGCUUUCCCUCUAAGAAAUGUCAUCGUGGAGGGAUGACCAAAAUGGAAUUCUACCGUGGAAUGGGCACCCCAAAUGCCACUGCGGCUUCCGUGUGUGGUUGCAAGUAUGGGAGGAUCGAUUACCUCAAGGAAAGAAGGGGUAUAGGUACUUCAAGUGUCCUAACAUUGAUGGUGAUUUCAAGGUCCGUCCAUUCAUAAACAUUUUAAAUAUGUUUUCUAUGUACCGGUAACUAACUAAUCAUGAAUCAACAUGCAAGCUUGCACAUUUAUGGAAUGGAUCGACAAUAGACCUUUAGGGGAAGUGGGCAUAAUCCCAGUGGAGCUAGAGACCAAAGGCCAAUACUAUACUAGGCUGGAAGAGGCUCGAGAGGCAGCAUGUCUUACUCGGUUUGAGCAAGAACGACGCAUCCGCCAACAACAGAUCCGUUUGAAGGGCAAGGAGGAUGAACUGCAGAGACAGUGCGAGCAGUUAGAUGCUUGAGAGGCAGCACUGAAAUGGCAGGAGGAAUAAUUCAAAGCUCGUCAGGUGCAACUCCUACAAGAAAAAGAGCGACAGAAGAACUUGAAGAAGCAGGAUGGAGAAUGUUCCUCCAAAACAGCAAGGAUGGGGAAACUUCCCCGGUUCACUCAGUAGAACAUUAGUUGUGAUCCACCAAUUUACAUUACCUAAGACAUUCUAUCCUAGGCAAGGUGCUUUUUAGGUUUGUCAUAUUGGGCGCCUCACAUGCUAUUGUACUGUUGUUUGUACUGUGAUAACAUUUCGUCUUGAUGCUUUAAGUACUCAGAUUCCACCCUAUUGCCACUAUACUGCUCUGCUGCCAGUAUAGUACUCAAAUAGUGCUAAUCCAUUGUUGACGUGAACCGUCACUAAAAAGCCUACACAAUACACUGCAAGGAUCCUAAACGUGAGCCUUCUCAGGCAGAUGGGACUCCACACUGAGCCCUACGUUCCUGCACCUACAAAGCCUAUAUCUAAGCUUUUUCAGGAUGAUUGAACACAACGGGGUACUAAACAAAUGGAGGCACAAUGCAUCUCCAUCUUAACACUUCCUAUAUGAACCUCCCUCUCCCGUAUCCUUCCACACCACUGAGUAGGAGGAAGAACAAUGGCAUCAGCAAGAAAGAGAGGUUGUAGGAGGAGGGGAUGUUCUUAUUCCCACCAUCACUUGGCUAGGUUCUUUUAGCCAACGGAGUAUGAGGAACCCCUCGAUGACUUCACUCUGUAUGAUAGGGCUAACUAUGCCCCUCCAAAAUGCCUUAAACCUUAUGACAACCGCCAUGAUGCAUGGCGAAUGUGUUACCAUGGUGUGGCUUGCGUUGUGCAACUGUUUGAUGGCUACGAUGAUGGAAGCCGGUGUUUCUUUCGAUGCCCGUAUGACUUGGUGAGUUAUCUUAUUACUUCCUUACUCUUGCUAAGCUUUUCGUGCUACAAACUAACAUCAUGUUUAGUCUUAUCUUGAUGAAGGAAACUACCGUUAUGCGAAGUGGGUCGAUCCUUCACUUCCUGAGUCAACCCAAGAGUACAUCCACUACCUUAAGUGCAAGAUCUUUGACCUCGAGCGUAGGGUGGAGGAUCUUCAAUCCGAAGUUGAUGCAAAUCCUUGAGCGGUUAACAUGAUUAACAUCGCAGGUGACUUGAUUUGUACCAAUCCAUGGUGCAAAUACCCCUACCACCACAACAAGGAUCGCCCAUCGUCACUGCCUUCCUCUGGGGGUGCUGGAUAUUAUGAGGCUGGGCCCUCCCAGCUCUCGCAAAGCCAGUUCUACUAGAAAGUAGAGAUGGCUUUAUCCCUGACUAUUUCAAUUACCUAAGGCAUGUUAGGUUUAGCAACGGCAUAUGUUUAAAAUAGCAUCCGUACCGCACAUGCCACUACAAUCUAUAAUUAAUUGUUUAGUCUAGAGUCGAUGUAUUUUAUAGUCGGGAGUUAAUUCAAUUUGCAAUAUUUCAUCGAAGCAUGCUCUCUCUCCAAUUUGGAAGUUUCGUAUUGCAACUAAUAAUGAUAUAUUCAAAUAUUUAGCGCUUCCAACCUAACUUACAUUUUCAUAUCUAAGAAAACAAUCAUGAAAUCAAAAUAAUAAAAUAAAAUUACUAGAACUUAUAGCCAUCUCACAUGACUAUAGCCGUUCCAACUGGCUAUAGGCUUGUCCACCUCUUACAACUAGCGGAAGAAGGUAGGAGGGAUCUUACCGUCGUUUCAAACAGCUAUAGCCGUUUGGACUGGCUAUAGCCGUUUCAAACGGUGGUAAGGGUCCCUACCCCUGCAUCACCGCCACGUGCCUAACCACCGAUUCAAACGGCGGUAUCUAUUUUUAUUCUUUUUGGACUGACCUACCACCAUUUGAAACAGCUAUAGCCAUUUCAUCCGGCUGUAUAGGUCUAGUUCUGCUAAUUUUUUGCACGUGUAUUUAUUUUUGUAAAAUCAUAAAAUACAAAAUAUAGAAAUAAAAAAUCGACGAGAUGGCUUUAAAGCCCAAUACGGCCCAUCAUGGGUCAUCUUCCUCCUCCAGCGCCGCCGCCGCCGUCUUGUCCACGGCUUCUCCUUCCUCUCCGGCCGUCCUCCCUGUGGCGGAACCGCCCAACUUAAGCUGGUUUAAGUGCGUCUAAUCGCUGUCGGAACAGCAAUUAUCCGAAAUGCACCUAAAACAGCAUAAGUCCGGUAGUCCGUCGAGUGUCCCUAGGACUCCUCGAAGGAUCCACGAUGUGUCUCAUAGCCAUACAUCAGGAUAAUAUCCGCGAUGGGGUAAUAUCAACAAAUAUUACAUUUUUACAUACAUAUAAAAGGUACGAGUUAUUACCGAACAUAGAUUGAAACAAACUUAACAGUGCAGUGUUAGACAGAGUUCUAAGAUUUAAACAUAAACAGUUCAGGAGAGGAUGCGCAGGUAAAACUUUUUCUCUAGGGUAUUAUGAGAUUCCGGUCAAUACCCUAGGGCUUCGGGGUCUCCUCCUCUGUAGACUCCUGCGGAGCUUCUGAAAGAUAGCCACAAGGGGAAACCCCUGAGUACGGGGUACUCAGCAAGUCUUACCCGACUACCCAAUAUAAUAGUUUUCUUUGGAAUGCAUGCUAGCUUUUGGGUGUGUUUGGCUAACACAACUUUUGCCGAAAAGCUUACUACGAGUAAUGCCUUAGUUUUAUCUUUUAUUUGGGUUAAGUUAUUACCUAACCAUUCUAAAUGAUAACAGAAAGUAAAAACAACCAUAAAUGUUAAGCCAUACAUCAAAUAUCAACCAAAGGUAUAUAUAUAUAUAUAUUGCAUGAAUUGAUACUACGAUGCUCAACAGUGAUCAAGUGCAUUCAUAACCGAGAAUUGCGGCGAUCCGGAUCUAAUUACAUCCUGCAGGAGAGUACCCUGAUCACCAGUGUUAUACGACUGUCCAGGUCGUAUCUAACAACCUCUCGAUUAGCAAAAUCAAUGAUUAGGAAUACGACUACCCGGACCCAGGGAUGCACCCCCACAUGGGACCCCACGUCUGGCCCGAUCACCAUGUGAGUUUCAGGCUACAUCCCUGCCAAUCUCCAGCACGUCAAGCGCGGGUACGAAGUAUUCCCGAUCAUAGAGUUUACUAACCUACUGGGCUUUACUGGUCCCAUACCCAGUAAGUGAUCAGAUGUUUAUCACUUGAUCAAAGGUUAAGACAACGAAUCGGGCCUUAACCAAAUUAAUCUAGCAGACAGAACUACACCUCUAGUUUCUGUCCGCUUUCAACUUUCUAAGUUAUCUUCCAUAAGCAACAUGUAUGACUUAAAAGUUUUUCCUUAAGGUUGGUAAACCAAGCAUUCAAGCAACUAAGCAUUUCUAGACUUGGGUUAUCUUCUAAGGUUUGAACAAGUGGCAAAGAUGUCCUUAAAGCAACUCCUAGACUUAGUGCAUACAUAUAGCAAAUAACCGAUAAUUGGACACAUGAAAUAACGAUUCCAAAAUAGAUAGGUAUAAAUGCACCGGGGCUUGCCUUGUUCACUUAAAAAGUUAGUAUUCUCUGACGGGUUGGCUUCACAGGGGACUAACUCAAAAACUUCUUUGAACUCCGAAGGUCCUUCUGAAAAUUCCGAAUAUUCUCCUUCUGGUGCUUCGGGAUCUAUAGCAUAAUACAUGCAGGGGUCAGAAAUGCAAAAUUUUGAAUAAAAGACUAUACAACUCUCCUUCAUGAUAAAGUUGCAAGACAACAAGGACUAUACAACCUAUCAUGAUAAAGUUGCAAGCCAACACACAAAAACCCAAAAGAUUAACCCACAAUUUUAUUUUUCUUACUUAACCCUCCUUAUAGCUUUUUCUUUUAUCUUUAGAAAAAGUUAUAAUUAUUUUCUAACUUGAAAAUCUAAUUUCCUAUGAGUUAAGGAUAAUUUGUGAUUAAUAAAAUGUUAUUCAUAUUUUAUACAUUUUAUAAAUAUUAAGUAUUUAUUUAAUUACCUUAAAAGGAAGGCAUUAAAUAAAUACCCGAAUUUUUUUUAUUAUUUUUCUAGGGUGUAAAAAUUUUAAUGCAUAAAGGAAAAUAAAACAAGCCUAACAAAAUUGGUUUCACUAAUUUUGGACACUCCUAGAAAUUUCUGUGAUUAAAAUGGUGUAAAAUGGAUUUAAACUAAUUACUUUCCUAAAGGAAAUCUAAUUUUUUUCCGAAAAACACCCGGAUAAACUUUUCUUACCCAGCCCCACUCUACCCUCUCUCACGCGCACUGGGCCCCACGGCACGGACCCAUCUAUCCUCCUAUUCCUCCUACCCGCCGGCCCCCUUCUCCCUCUGACGGGCCCCGUGGGCCGUUUUUCUUUUUCCUUCUCCUUUUUCGGCCCGACACCGGCCCAACGGCCCUCUUCCCUUUUUCUCCUUUCCUCCGCGAGGCCGACCUGCUUCCCCUAGGCCUCCGGCCUUUUUUCCUUUUUCGGCUGACCGCGCGCGCAUCGCUGGGCUUCAAGGCCGCGGCCCAACAAACGGCCGCGCCUUCCCGGCCUCUUUCUCCCCCUCUCCCUUCUCACUGCCGCGCGGGCCCGAGCGCCCAGACGCUUCUUCCUCCUCCUGCCAAAACACGCGCGUGUAACAGGGGGCGGCGCGACUCGCCGGCCGGCGCCCCACCGGCGGCGAUGCUAGGUCAGGACAGCACCCCUACACCUUCACGCACCCGUGCGCGGCAACAGCUCCUCGGGAGAUGGCCGGAGCCAUUCCCUCCACGGCGGCGGGCGGCGACACCUUCGGCCGGUCGUGACUACUCACGACGACGGCACAACCUACUCAAACAACUACCUUUACACCAUCCUAGGACCCUAAGGACUCGCCUACGACUACUUAAGGAGGAAGAGGAGCAGCGCAAGGUAGGGCUCACCGUGAGCGGGCGGCGCGGCGAUGGCGGACAGAAGCGGCGGCGGUUCAAGGCGUGACGGCGAAGAAGCUGGGCAACAAGUUGCUAAGGUUGCUGGUGGGGUGUAAGCGGAGGUGUGGACGGGAAGAAUCGACGGGAGCUGCGGUGUGGCGGUGGAAUUUUGCUCGACGGCGGUGCUUGACAGAGGAGGUGCUGGCGGCGGUAAAAAGAGCGGCGGUGAAAACGGCGGUGCGGGAGCGGUAGUUAUUCAAGCAUUCACCGCGCGCAUGGGCGACACCGUGGCCUACCCAUAGGCUUAUGUGGUGAGGAGGUGGCCUAGCUAGACGCGCUAGCGAGCGACCGACGACGGCGGCAGCGACACGUCCUGCUGCUCUGUCACCGCUCCUCUUUUCUUCUUCUAACGCCCGUGACUUCAGAGCGAAAUUACGGCCGAUCUUCAAUCCAACGGUCCCCAAGCGCUUUAACAGAAGUUGGAGAUAAACUCAAACCCUUCACUUUUUAUUUUGGCUCUGACCCGAGAUAAUCAUCAAAUACAGUUGAAUUUUGAUUUGUUUCUCGGGUUCCUCUGAAGUUUACUAAAACUGAUAUUCAGUUCGUCAGUCAAUCAAGGUGCUCAUUUGCCCGACUUAGUGAUCCAUUUCGGUGAUCCAAAUUCCCUUCCCGUAGCUCAACUUCUUCCCAAUGAUGUUCUACAACCUCCAAAGUUUCCAUUUUGCCCAAGAACACCUACCCUUCUUGAUCUACAUUGCUUUGAAUUCAAAUUCAAAGUCGACCCUAUGCUGUCGGUUUCAGACUUAACCAUUUUUCAGUGACAGUCAACUGUGACAAUGUGCUGACUUUGAGCUAUAUUUCGAAAUUGUUCUCUUCCAUGUUCCUAGCCAACAACACCCAAAUCUUGUAGUCCAAAGUUCGUACUUCAAUAUGGUAUAGUUGUCCUGAUGCACUUAUUUGGAAAAUUCUUCAAAAUUCAAUUUGGAAAACAGACUCUGCUGCUGUUUUUCUGUGUUCUUAUUUUCAGACGAGGAACAGUAAACUCCAUUUUCCUUUUUCUUUCUUUAAUUUCUCUGAGCUAUUUAGCACCAAUUCUGUUCCAAAUCUUUGAUUCUUAAGUCCUAGUUACCCUUACACUUGCAUUCCACAUUUUUGCCGAAUUUUUCUGAAUUUCAAAUUCAAAAUUCAAAUUUCGGUCAAAUUUGACCCGAAUUUGAUUUUCGGCCAAUUUCUUUUUCUUUUCUUCUCAAUUUGCUUUUUAAUUCUUUAAAGUCACUUAGAUGACUAAAUUGGCAGCUUUUACACUCCCCCACCUCGCCGGACAACCACUUUGUCUCUAGUGACAGCCGCCGCCGGAUCUGCCUCUGUUGCCCCACCAUCGCUAACCGAGCCGUGACAUGACGACCCCCAAAAGCCUCCGCCACCGCGGUCGGCGGCUCCCAUCGCCUUACUGCACCGCCUUGCUCCCAUCCCACCAUCCCAACCCCGCCCAUCCGGUCAUCUCCCGUCAUCCCGGCCGGUGGCUACCGCCGCCGUCUCGCCCGCUACCACUGCCGGGCAAGCCACCCGCCCCGACCUCCUCUUUAAGCCGGCACACACCAAAGAACCCCCAACCCCCACUCCUGAAACCCUAACCUCCCACGAUGGUGGCGGAGCGUCACGCCUGAACGAGCGGACGGGGAAGGGUGUGGAGAAGAAAAUAGAUCGGACGUUCUGUAUCACGCGCACCAAUCUCAAAGAUCGGAAGCCAUAUAAGCUUCCUGGCUUCCGGAAGAUUGCCGCGUCCUAGUGGUGUGCGGUCUGGCCGUCUGGCCCAAUGUGCGCGUGGGCCGUAAGGUUGCGGUUUGUGCCUAUAGGGCUGAGCCCAAUAAGUCUCAGCCCACGGGUAGGAUCCGGUUUCUAGCUGUUGUGCUGUUCAGCGUCGACCGUCGACGCCGUCGGUUGCCCAUGGCCUCUCUGCUAUAUCAACAUACGGUAACAAUCAUGAUGCACGUGCUGUUGGCCACCGCGUGUAUAGAGUAGACUUUACAUGUACGUAAAAAAAUACCAGAGAAAUCUGUUACAUCUCGCUGCAAUGAUUUAUGCACCAUCCUUUUCAACGCGUGUGUGUCAUAUGGAUAGCUAGAUUGAUCCUUGAACACUUUAACGUCCACGGAUUCAUCGAUACAUAUUCUCUUUAUAGUAUAGCGUACUAACUCAAUUUCAAAAUAGACAAUGAAUUUAAAUCUUCCCCUGUACGGCAUACAUCAUGAUCAUUGGGGAUUUGCAGAUCAUACACAAUCACAAGUUUUAUUAUACACCUUGCCACCUGUCCGUAUUCUUAACAUAUUUAUUAGUACUUUGGUUAUGUUUAUCAUUAUAAUCAACCAAACCCACUAGAGAGAGCCUGAUGCACUUUCAACUUUACGUGUGCAUAAAAAAACUUGAGAGAAAUCUAUUAGAUCUAGAUGCAAUGACAUAAGCAUCAUCCAUUCCAUGUUUUUUCAAGGAAACACCCCUUUGAUGUAUAAAACAUUGCUAAUGAUUUUUUUCUUUGAAAUGAACCAGACGGAAGAGCUGCCGAUUAUAUUUAAAAAAAAGAACGAAUCCAGACUAGAUAAAACAACAAACAAUAACAUCGACCGGUUGGAUUGGAACAUCAGCACAGCCACACAGUUCCAUCGAACUACUCAACUCAAAUAACAAUAACGCAGGAUUGGAUUGGGACAUCAACAUGUGCCGCACAACACAAAUCACCACUCUCGAUACAAUGAAACUAUCUCCAGUCGGUUGAAUUGUGACAUCAACACAUGUCGUACAAAGACAUGAUUCCGCCGCAGCUAAACAACAGCACCACCUCCGGUCACCACCAGCUACCACACCGCUAGAACGCCUCACCCGUGAGGCCUGCCACCAGCUCUCUUUUUUUUUUCUUUUUCUUCUUUUAUUAACUUCUUCCUCACUAGCAAGGCAAGCAAGGCAUGAACUUCCAAAGUGACGCCUCCAGGGAGAGGUAUGACGCUGCUGGCGUCACCGUCGCCUGACCAGAUAGUCUAGAUAAACACGGGCAGCACAAGGGGAAAAGGGGCAAAUUGAUAGGCACUUCCAACGAAGUAAACGUCGCCUAAACACGUCACCAUCAUCGGCCUGUAGCAGGCAUGGCUUUCACCAUGAUCCCCGAACCCCGUGCACAGGCUGCCCUCGCCAUACCACGUGAGCCAUUGAUCCCGCCACCAAACUUGGAUGUCAGACUCGGAUGUCCCCGCUGUCACCAGAGGACACCAUGCACGCUGUGAGAGCAGCCGCGGCAACACCACGCACGAUUGCUGAUGAAUUGUUUUUGAGCUGUUGGGAAUGUGAUCAGCAACAAGGCUAGAUUGGUAUGCUUUGCAAGCGCUGUUGGAUGCAAUGCAUUAUCUUUUAUCCUCUAGCCAAGCUCGACUUUACCCUUUUUUUUGAAUUGGGAGUACUGCGGUGCCUCUGGUCCAAGAUGUUGGUCAAUUUUUAGAAAUUAAUAAAUGAAAACGAAUCAUGGAUUGGCCAUGUAAGAUAGGUGCUACUAGAUGUUAGAUACAUGCUACAAGUUUCAUUACAAAUAAUAUUUAAUUAUUGCACCUCGUGGUAUGGGUCAGCAAUUCCAAACAAUGAAUCAAAAAAAAUACUAUUUAAUUUUUUUCGAAACGUAAUAUUUUAAUAUAAAUCGGCCGUCAGAGUGUUAUUUCAAAGACAGCAAAAAUAUCACCUUUGGAUGUUUUCCUUAUUUCUUAUUUUAAUAUCUUCAGGAUAAUUGUCCAUGAAAAUUCAUAUUUUGAAAAGGUGAUGGCAUAGAGUUUUUGUCGGUUGCUGUCGGAGUAUAUGUGCACCACAUAGCUGUAACUGAAACCGUUACGUAUAUUUUGAAUUAGAAAGACAACCACUACCACAGGGGCGAGGAAACCUUCCUGACGGGGAACCGACAGGAACACGACGACAGGGACAGCUACUCAGGAAAGACCAGUUACUCCUGACGGGUGUCUAACAGGAAACAAUUCCCGUCGGCAGCUCCUGACGGGAAGGAACCGGCCGACCAGUUGCAGUUACUGUGGCCGCAACCGACAGGAAUUACCGUCAGGAAACAUAAAAUCGACAGGAACCAAACGUGUUCCCCUGACAGCGGGCCCCGUCAGGAUAGACCUGUUGGCCAACGGGAAUUCAUCAGUGUUCCUGACGGUGUGCACCGAUAGGGAAAACCUCCUGCAUUUUGUAUCUAUUACCAUCAUCAGUUUAAUUCAAAUGGCCCCACAACAUUCAUACAACAUCAAUUUAAUUCAAAUGUCCAGGAUAAGACACAGUACACAUUAAACAUGUCACAUGAGCCAUCCAGAUUAAUUCAAGUAGCACUAACAGAUACAAUCAUCCAAAGUGUCCAUCAUGUCUGGCUAGCACAUAGGCAUAGCAGCAUGCAUGUCCAGCAUGCCCAGCUCCAACACUUUAACCAAGGAGCAAGUCAAGAUCAGUAGUUCAUGAGUCGACUACAUAGGAUGUCAACUGCACAAAACUAGCAAGUCCUACUGCUAGCAAAAGGAGAGGCAUUUUCACUUUCUACCACAUGAUACUACACAAAAAGCAAGUCUUCACAAAAGAAAAGAGGCAUGCUGUACCCUUCACCAUUUCAUUCCAGAGUAGGGUCAUCUUCAUUGUCAUCGUUGCCAUUGCUAGAAGCGUCAUUGCCAUUGCCAGAUGCGCUGAUGCUGUUGCCAGAUGCAUAGUUGCCAUUGCCACAAGCCCUGUUGCCUAAAGUGCCGCUACCAGCACCAUUUUCAGCUUCGGAUGACGACUGACUAACCUGCAAGUAGAUAGAAAUCAAAAGGGUGAAUGGUUGGAAGAACUGCAAUAUAAAUUUGGCUACAUAUGAGAAGCUCAACAUGUCUGAUUAGAUCUCAACUGCUAAAAGCAUUGCACCAAAAAUUUAGUUCCAUCCAGCACACAAUGAUGGACAGUAACAUUUUAACACAAAGAUAGAUUAGAUAUGAACAUGAUGGACAGUAACAUUUUAGACAUACUGGAAUGUGUUUACAACAGUCAAGGGGGGUAAACUAGACCAUAUCUUGGAAUGUGUCUUUAAUUUGACACUGUCAGCAGCAUAUCUUUGAAUCAAAAUUUAUAGUUGAAAGGCCUAAAGCCUCACAGGUACCCAGGAGCUCACGCACAGAACACACACAUACACAGUAGUCUUUUUUGUGCUGCAAUUGCUCGCUACCUUUUCUUUUUUCUUCUCUAUUUAUACGCAGCCGAGACCUACAAUAGGACCUGUAAUUGAAAGCUAAUAGCUACAGCCAUCACUACCUUGGUUGGCUUAUUAUUCUCACUAACUAGCAGCUGGAAAACUGCUAAGUAAAUAGGCUCAGUUCCAGGGCAGAAAGUUGAGUUGCAGCAUGUAACACUAGUGAUCAAAUAAAGUAUUCUUGGACAGUAACACUAAUGAUCCUCUGAGAUAUGCAAUGAUCCUAUUUGCAGCAGCAUGUACAGAACAAGAUCAAAUAAAGUGCAUGGUAGUACUGCACCUGCUCGCUUGAUGGUGCACAAGUAUUUGCUUCUUGCAGAAUGGCGACUAUUUCUUCUAGUACUGACAUGUUCAUCUUGGCAAAAAGAUCCUAACAGUGGCACAAUCAGGAAAUGCUUCCAAGAAUCAUUAGGUGGCUACAAAGUGAGUUGAGGUAACUCAAUUACCGGCAUAUGUUUGCACAAAACUAGACCAAUCUGGUAGCCCUUCUCCAGUUGUGCGUUCCGCCUUACAAGAUAUUGAUAAGACCCCGAGUUUGAUUGUCUUGUACCCCUAGCACUUGCUUUCAUAUCACAUUUCCUUAAAGCGCCAUUUGCUAUUGGCACACGGCCAUGAGCCAAGCCAUUCCUACUACUUGGUACAGGGCAUCAGCAUCAAGCUUCCCAUCAUUCUUACGCUGCUCAAAGUCAUUUGGAUGCAAAGCUUCAAGAGUAGCAAAAUAAUCAUCCUAAUAAAGGAAAAACCUCAAGUUAUCUUUCAGAUCAGGUUAUAAACAUUAAAAUUUUGAAAGGAACAAAGUGUGGCAACUUACAACACGCCUUUGGGCCUUUUCUGUUAGGAUUAGACAGCUUUUGCCAUUGCUAUCACAAUUUUUUACACCUGACUUCAUGCAGCAGUAAGUGUUGAUGUCAGCGGCAGCUUCAGGGUCAUACUUCUUUGCCUUGGACAUAGGAGACGCAAUCAGCAACACAGCGGCAAUAACAAAAUAUAGUAGAAACUGUUGGAUAUAUAAGCACUUUUAGUUUUAAUUUAAUCCAGAAAUAAAUCAUGAAUACGAUGAACAGACAGCAGAUUAAACUAGACAUGUCUACGCAAGAUCUAGACAAGUCUAUCAUGCAAAUAGAAUCACACAUUCUACCAUACUAUCCAGUGCUAUCAGACUACAACAUAUCAUAAUAGCUAGUAUGGAAGACAUAAUUUGAGUUAAGAGAUCGUACGUUUCUUUCUUGAUGAAGACCGGCUCCUGGACGACUACUGGGUACAGCAGCCGACGACGAUCAGCAGCCUGACGUUGUUCGUGACGGCGAGUGAGGCCCGAGCGACGAAGAGGUAGACGAGCCGUGGUGAAGGAGUCGACGAAGAACUUGACGAAGCGGAGGAAGCGAUCGAGCAGUCGCGCAGAGCGCUUCCCAAAAACCUUAUUCGCCCUCUCCCGGUGCAGGAUCGCUGAAGGCGACGGUUCCGGAGACCUGCUCUCCCAAUCGCCGGUGCACGCCGACAAUCGGGAUGGAGUAGACUACGGUGGCGGCGCAGCAGCGAGAGGAGGCAAAAACCCUAGCUCGAAUAGAUUUGUUUAUGGUAGAGGCCGGUAGGUCGCAUAUAUAGGAGAGCCCACGAUUCUCACGUGCCCGCGCCCUUCGCCCGGCCCGGCCCGGCCCGGCGAGGCGAGGCGAGGCGAGGCGAGGCGAGGCGUGGCGUGGCGAGCGAGCGCGCGUGUGUGGAGCUCUUCUUCCCUCCCCACACACAUAGCUUGGAGGAGUGGAGACAACUUCCAUAUUUAAGUUGGUCAUCCCUCCCCUCCACUAGCAAUGUGGGACUAAAGACUUGCACCACUCCACCUCUUGCCCACAUGGGCCUUUGAGAUUUAUUUGAAAUUCUGAAAUUCCUUAUGGGCUAGGCCCAUUAUUUCAACAAUCCCCCACCAGAUCUCAAAUGCCCAUCAGAGAUUUUGCCUGUUUCUCACUGAUGUUUAUAUACUAGUGUUUCGGUGAGGACUGUUAAGUUGAACUCUCGCCUAGAGCUUCAAGCUACAUUCAUCCACAACUUGAACAAUGGACUAAGCCUUGAAUUGCAAGUUUUGUGCGGACAAGUUUCACUCAAAGUCGGGACUAGUACCUGGCUGCCUGUAGCCUACCCCGCGGGUGGGGCAUAUAGGUCGUACCCCCUGGUCUCUUCAUGAGCUUAAUAGAGAUCACCCAAGUCUCAUAGACUGCGACCUUACAACAGUCGGGCUCAUAUAGGUAUAUUUUUCCAAAAUGUUCUGCAGGGGCAACAUCUUUGCUAAUUAAAGCCAACAAAAUAUAUUAAGGCAGUAGCCAGCCUGCCAUGCAGUGGUUUGAGAGUGUUGCAUCAUUUCUCGAGUGGGUUAGUAGGAUACUCUCAUGCUAUCCCAUGGCUUGUUCUUCCCAGAUCCUACUUCAUGGGAUCUCCGAUCACAUAGGUUGGGUUACCACCACGGUGUAGCUCAUAUGGGUCUCAUACCCAUCUCCUUUGAUGCAUUGUCUAUCACAUUACGUGACAGCCCCUUAGUGAACUGAUCUGCCAAGUUCUUAUCAGUUGAGAUGUAAUCCACUGAUAUUACUCCGGAGUUUCUCAUUUUCCUGACAGAUUUCAGACGUCUCUUAACGUGUCUUGAUAACUUCAUAUUGUCCUUAGAAUUGUUCACUUUGACUAUCACUGUUUGAUUGUCACAAUUCAUAAGUAUUGCCGGCAUAGGUUUCUCGACAAUAGGCAAGUCCACCAAGAGUUCACGUAGCCAAUCAGCCUCAACUGUGGCUGUAUCUAAUGCUGCAAGUUCUGCUUCCAUGGUAGACCUCGUUAAGAUAGUCUGUUAGGAUGACCUCCAUGAAACAGCACCACCACCAAGAGUGAAGACGUAUCCACUUGUGGCAUACAGUUCAUCAACAUCAGAUAUCCAAUUUGAAUCACUAUAGCCUUCCAGUACUGCAGGAUACCCGGAGUAGUGAAUUCCGUAAUCCAUAGUGCUAACUAAAUAGCGCAUGACUCGCUCAAGCGCACGCCAAUGAUCAUCUCCCGGAUUAGAGGUAAACUGGCUCAGUUUGCAAACAGCAUAUGAGAUGUCAGGCCUAGUAGCACUGGCUAAAUACAUAAGUGAUCCAAUAAUCUGAGAGUAUCUUAAUUAGUCUCUACCAAUUCUCUUGUUUUUCCGAAGUAUCAAGCUCGGAUCAUAAGGUGUGGGAGAAGGCUUACUAUCCUUAAAGCCAAACCGGCUCAAGACCUUUUCCACAUAAUGAGAUUGCGUGAGAGUAAUCCCAUUCUCUCCUUUGAUCAGCUUGAUAUUCAGAAUUACAUCAGCCUCUCCAAGAUCUUUCAUGUCGAAAUUUUGGCACAGAAAUAACUUGACCUCUUUGAUCACAUCAAGAUUUGUACCAAAGAUCAGUAUGUCAUCGACAUACAAGCACAAUAUAACUCCCUCACCCCCACCAUGGCGGUAGUACACACAUCUAUCAGCCUCAUUGACAGAAAAGCCUGCUGAUAUGAGUGUAGUAUCAAAUUUCUCAUGCCACUGCUUAGGUGCUUGUUUCAGGCCAUACAAAGAUUUCAGCAAUUUACACACCUUGUUCUCUUGACCCUUUAUUACAAACCCAUCAGGCUGAUUCAUAUAAAUUUCCUCAUCCAACUCUCCAUUAAGGAAAGCUGUCUUAACAUCCAUCUGAUGGACGAGAAGACCAUGUGAGGCAGCAAGGGAAAGUAAUACUCGAAUACUGGUCAAUCUCGCAACAGGUGAGUAGGUGUCGAAGAAAUCUUCACCUUCUUUCUGGGUAUAACCCUUAGCCACAAGUCGAGCCUUGUACUUAUCAAUAGUACCAUCAGGCCUAAGCUUCUUUUUGAACACCCACUUGCAACCCACAGGUUUACAACCAUACGAUCGAUCAACAACCUCCCAAGUUCCAUUAGAAAGAAUAGAGUCCAUCUCACUAUGGAUAGCUUCUUUCCAAUCAUCUGCAUCUGGAGAUGCAAAUGCCUCUGAAAUAGUCUUAGGAGUAUCGUCUACGAGAUAGACAGUGAAAUCAUCACCAAAGGACUUUGCAGUUCUUUGUCUCUUGCUCCUCUUAGGAGCUUCACUGUUAACCUCCUCAUGAACUGGCUCAAGUGUUUGUUCAGCAUGAUCAGGACGCACAAUAGGUUCAAGAGUUGUCUCAGCAAUCAUAUCAGAAGAUAGUCUAGACAUACUAUGCAAUUGUUUCAUAGGAAAUAUAUUCUCAAAGAACGUAACAUCACGAGACUCCAUCAAGGUAUUAACAUGAACAUCAGGCACCUCUGAUUUAACCACUAAAAAUCUAUAGGCUAUGCUAUGAUGAGCAUAUCCCAAAAAGACACAAUCCACAGUUUUAGGUCCCAACUUACGUUUCUUGUUGAUUGGCACACUAACUUUGGCCAAGCAACCCCAAGUGCGUAAGUAUGAAAGUGAUGGUUUUCUUCCAAUCCAUUCUUCAUAGGGAGUUUUCUCCUUAUUCUUCAUGGGUACUUUAUUCAGGACAUGACAUGAAGUCAAUAUAGCCUCCCCCCACCAUGCCUUAGAUAAUCCACUGGUGUCUAACAUGGUGUUCACCAAGUCAGUCAAGGUGCGAUUCUUUCUUUCGGCAACCCCGUUUGAUUGGGGCGAAUAGGGAGGCGUCCUCUCAUGUACAAUACCAUGUUCUUCACAGAACAAGUCGAAAUCAUUAGAGAAAUACUCGCCACCACGAUCAGACCUAAUUCUCUUGAUCUUUUUCUCAAGUUGAUUCUCAACUUCAGCCUUAUAGAUUUUAAAGUAGUUAAGAGCCUCAUCUUUCAUUUUCAAUAAAUAUACAUAGCAAUAUCUAGACGCAUCAUCUAUCAAAGUCAUGAAAUAUCUUUUUCCACCUUUGGUCAACACACCAUUCAUCUCGCAUAUAUCAGAAUGAAUGAGUUCAAGUGGUGCCAAGUGUCUCUCCUCGGCUACCUUGUGAGGUUUUCGAGGUUGCUUAGAUUGCACACAACUAUGGCACUUAGAACCUUUGACAAUGGAAAAAUUCGGAAUUAAACACAGGCUAGAAAGUCGAGACAUAGAACCAAAAUUCAGAUGACAUAAACGUGAAUGCCAAACACUAGCAUCACUCUCAUUAAUACCAUCACAAAUAUAGUUCACAGACUUAUUGCAAUAAUCUGAAAGGGAAAAGCGGAACAAGCCUCCGCACUCAUAGCCUUUACUAAUAAAUUGUCCACUCUUAGACACGACAAUUUUAUUAGACUCAAGCACUACCUUAAAACCAUCCCUACACAAAAGGGAGCCACUAACUAGAUUCUUCCUGAUAGAAGGGACAUGCUGCACGUUCUUCAGUUGCACGAUCUUUCCCAAAGUAAACUUCAGAUCUACCGUACCAACACCAUGAACAGAAGCAUGUGACCCAUUCCCCAUUAGGAUGGAGGAAUCCCGAGCGACCUGGUAAGAUGAAAAUAAGGAGGCAUCAGCACACACAUGAAUAUUAGCACCAGUAUCAAGCCACCAAGUGUUAGUAGACUGAAACAUUAAAAAAACAGAAGGUAAAUUACCAUACCCACUAUUUCCGUCUCCAGCGCUGGUCACCAUGCUCACAGACUUCUGCUGUGGAGGUUUUCUUCCUUUGCGGUUUGGGCACUUCUUUGCCCAAUGGUCAGUAGAACCGCACACGAAGCAUCUCUCGUUCUCCUUGUUCUUCUUCUUCUUGAAGGUAGUGGACUGCUUAGGCUUAUUGUUCUUACCCUUGCCCUUGCCACCAUUGCCAUUGUGAUGUGAUUGGUGCACCAUAUUGGCACUGGUCUGACUCUCAACAGCUUUAGAUCGUCCAUCUUUAGCUCGAGCUUUCUCCUCAACAUCAAGAGACGCAAUCAGGUCUGAAACAGAAAUUUUUGUCCUCUUGUGUUUGAGAGAAGUGGCGAAAUCCCUCCAGGAUGGAGGUAACUUGGCAAUAAUGCCCCCAGCCACAAACUUGUCGGACACGACAAUCUUUAGCAGAUCGAGUUCCUUCACCAUGCACUGUAAUUCAUGAGCCUGAGCGACUACAGAUUUUCCAUCAACCAUCUUGUAGUCAUGAUACUGCUCAAUGAUGUACAGUUCAGUGCCAGUAUCUGAGCCACCGUAGUUGGCAGUCAGAUCGUCCCACAACUCCUUUGCGACCGUGUGAUGAAGAUACACAUCCUGCAGAUGUUCUGCAAGUGCACCAAUCACAGCGCCCAAGAAGAUUGUGUUGGCUUUCGAAUAUUCUUUCUCCUUUUCAGGAGAGAGAACCCCUUCCGGCUUGCCAUUGGACACCCAGAACACCUUCAUGGUAGUAAGCCACAGCGUGGCUUUCACCUGCCACCUCUUGAAGUGCACGCCAGCAAACAGUGCUGGCCUCAGUGCAUCAAGAAAUCCAGCCAUAAAACUAAAGUGCCUACAAUAAGGUUUUUGGAUUAUUGGAUAUAUAAGCACUUUUAGUUUUAAUUUAAUCUAGAAAUAAAUCAUGAAUAAGAUGAACAGACAGCAGAUUAAACUAGACAUGUCUACGCAAAGAUCUAGACAAGUCUAUUCAUUGCAAAUAGAAUCACACAUUCUACCAUACUAUCCAGUGCUAUCAGACUGCAACAGAUCAUAAUAGCUAGUAUGGAAGACAUAAUUUGAGUUAAGAGAUCGUACGUUUCUUUCUUGAUGAAGACCGGCUCCUGGACGACUACUGGGUACAGCAGCCGAUGACGAUCAGCAGCAUGACGUUGUUCGCGACGGCGAGUGAGGCCCGAGCGACGAAGAGGUAGACGAGCCGUGGUGAAGGAGUCGACGAAGAACUUGACGAAGCGGAGGAAGCGAUCGAGCAGUCGCGCAGAGCGCUUCCCAAAAACCUUAUUCGCCCUCUCCUGGUGCAGGAUCGCUGAAGGCGAUGGUUCCGUAGACCUGCUCUCCCAAUCGCCGGUGCACGCCAACAAUCGGGAUGGAGUAGACUACGGUGGCGGCGCAGCAGCGAGAGGAGGCAAAAACCCUAGCUCGAAUAGAUUUGUUUAUGGUAGAGGCCGGUAGGUCGCAUAUAUAGGAGAGCCCACGAUUCUCACGUCGCGAUCGUGAUCUAAACCCGUUAGGAUUCCAUAUAUCUCGCUGACUUAAAGACCAAGUAACCAAAAAAUAAAACGGCAAAAGGAAGCCGCGCCCCCGCAAGGCGAGGGACCGGAUUUCUGCGGACCAUUCACGCAGGUGCCGCGCGCCCACGCCCUUCGCCCGGCCCGGCCCGGCGUGGCGAGCGAGCGCGCGCGUGUGGAGCUCUUCUUCCCUCCCCACACACAUAGCUUGGAGGAGUGGAGACAACUUCCAUAUUUAAGUUGGUCAUCCCUCCCCUCCACUAGCAAGGUGGGACUAAAGACUUGCACCACUCCACCUCUUGCCCACAUGGGCCUUUGAGAUUUAUUUGAAAUUCUGAAAUUCCUUAUGGGCUAGGCCCAUUAUUUCAACAGAAACUAAUGUACAAUUCAGAAGUAACUAAAAUACAAGAUAGAAAGUCACAUUGACUUACCAAAUAUCACUUGGUCUGGCUAUGUGGUCGAGAUCCGCCUCUGUUUUGAGCAAAGUCAGGCUGCAUCCGCGAUCCUUGAGCAAGACGGCACUUCUUUAAGAAACCUGGUGAGCACCAAUAAGCACAUAUCUUGCGCCAUGCCUCAUCAGAAAUCCAUUCUGGCCAAACCUUCAAAUAUUGUGUUUCACGGAGCAAUUUCUUGCGAGCAACUUUGUCAUUUAUCCGCUGAUCUAGGAAAUCGUCAUAAUAGGCCUUCACAGCACUCACACGAAGCUCAUACAUCAUGUUUUUGCAUUGCUUGGCAGCAAAUCUCUCAACAACUUCCUCAGCAUGUAAUCUGUCUUCCUCACUCACUGAAUAGAUACUCUGCACUAAAAAAUAGAAUACUCAGCCCAUGUACACCUAUGCUAAUAAAUCCUACAAAGCUGAACAAAAAGAUGACAUAUGUUUGAACUUUUUUACUCACCCAAAACUCUUCUGAAAUGAUAAGCUCAUCCAAUGCUCAUCUCUGGUAAUACUAUAAUGAUCCCAUAUCUUUGCAUAAAAUGUUUUCUUAGGACCAUCUUUAACAAUGGAAGGGUAUUCAAGUUUUAGGAUUUCUGUUAUUUGACCACCAAUCACUAUUUCCUUAUCAGAUGAAUCGUUCACAAACUUAAAUUGUCUAUGAGAAAAAGUGAAGACUUAUUAUAGGAUAGCAACAUUAUACAAGAAAAUUUGUGGACAGUAAUACUACAUAUCCAUUAACUAGAAAAGAAAACCACUACUAAAGCAUUAACAUAGACAACCACUAGUGAACCACUACUGAAACAUUAACUAGGCAAUGAAACGAAUCAAUUCUAUGAAUUUCCCAAAGAAAAAGGGUAUCAGAAGAUGUACUCACUCAUCUCCAACAUGUUUAAUAGGAAUCUGUUAGCCAUUUGGGGGUCUUUUUAGCUUGGUAGGUCCCCUCUUCUUCUUUCUUUGGCUUCCUUGCUAUUUGCAAUGGCACUUGGGAGGAGGGCGGCGGCGAUAGUGGGGGGAACGGCGGAGGGGAAGCAGCGGUAGUGGGGGAGGGACAACGGCAGGGGAGCGGCGGUCGGGGGAGCAGCGGUCGUGGUGGAUGGACGGCGUCGGGGGAGUGGCGGUCCAGCGGAGGGACGACGUCAGGGCCUUGGGGGAGUGGCGGCGGGGAUGCGCAUGUUGGCCGAGCGGUUGCUGAUGCUCUUUAUUGACACACUUUUUCCCAUGUUUAUCUUUAAUAAUGACAUGAAUUUAAUACAUAAACUAAUGAUCACACCUAAUAAAUCGGUCAUUUUCACAUGUGCAACAUAUUUUGGAGGAUAUUUUGUUUUUGCAGGGAAUUGUACCUAAAAGCAUAUUUUUGGAUAAAGCACCGAAUGAGCAUCGAACCAGACUAAGACGAAGGCCAACGGGACUACGAAGGGCUUAGGCCGAUCGGCCAAGAGGAGCCCAGGCCGAUCGGCCUAGGAUCCUCUAGCGCCUCCUGAUGCCCAUCUUUGGCAAGCAAUCAUUCGAGAUGAUUUAAGAGCUAAGUUUGUAAAAACAUGGCAAGGAUGACUUCGAGAUCAAAGAAGAAUCAAAAAAGAUUAAGCGGAGAUUUGGAAAGUUAUUGAAGAUCAAUUUCAUCCCGAAGCUACCGACAUGCCAGGCCCACAUGCAAGUGAAAAUAAGACACCUGAGCAUCUAAGAAGACUUGGGAGUUUCCUUCGCCCCCUCGCCUUCUAAUUUUUACCAUGCGCUCUCUAGACUAUAAAUACCUCAAAAAUCCAUCGAGCCCCAUAUCCAAGAUGAUGUACUCGAUGUGAAGCGGUAGAGAAGCAAAACGAGCUUGAGGGACACCUCUCCGGAGAGCCGAGAGCCGUGCAAUUGUUGGGGGUUAGCGUAGCUGAACCUCUGCCGGCGUGAUCACCCUGCGAGGAAGAUCACACUGGAGUUCUGGAGCUAGCAAUCAUCAAGAUCAAGGUAGGAUCCCUGUGGUGAUCUUGCAAUGUACAAUCAUUCAUGAUGAAGUAAUAGAUGUGUUCAUAUUCUUAGCGAUCUAAGUAUCUCCUUUGAUGAUUUUAUGCUUUAUCGAGUUUGCUUGCUUUUCCAUCUAUGGAUCGAUGAUAUAUUGUUUAGGGUGUUCUUGUGGUCGUGAUGACUAGAUUUGCAUGGCUGAUCUACCGAUGAGUAUGACAUGUUCUCUUGAUCAUGCCCUUAACCUGCUUGCGCUGAUAAAGGUGAUCGUGACAGGAUCUUUCUUAUGUAAGGUGGAGGGUUUCAGGAUCUGGACCGGAGGUGUAGAUUUAAAGAUGCUUUUUACUAGAAUCAUAUCUAUGUUAUUUUGCUAUCCAUGCUCAGAAUUACAACAUAUGCAUAGUCUAGGUUGCUCUAGAUUGGUUAUCUCUGAUCUAUCUAUUAUCUGUCUAUACAUGCUCAGUAGAUUGGAUCUGAAUCUCUCAUAAACACCAAGUUAAUACUAACAAUGCUAGUUGAAAUAGAUCUUAUGCUAUAAGUUCUAUGGAUUGAUAAACCUUAGGAGAAUACUAUGAGGGAAGAGCUACAACUGAUCCGUACGUUUGCGGUUCACAAUUGGCGUGCUAACAGCCGUCAACAGCGGCCAAGCACGAGGUGGCGGUGAGAUUGGGAUAGGGUUCCGAGGGGAGGAGAGGCUUGGGGUAUUUUGAUGCAUUGGUGUUAGUACGUGGGUCCGAGUGUGGGAUAGGGCGGGAUAGAAGUGCGCCCGGCCAAUUUUUUGCCCAAGACUGAUUUUUCGACGCGUGGGAGUGAAAUGCUACGCGGGUUCAGUGCGAGCGCCCGACGGAACAAGGUUUCCUGUCGGUUUUUUCUACCAUCGGGACCACCACAUAAUUCCUACCGGUUUUCCAAUAUCCUGACGGUUUAGCGAAACCGAUAGGAAUUCGGGGCUGGUUUCCUGUUGGUUUUUCCCCUCCGAUGGGAUUGUGCAAGGAUUCCUGUCGGUUUUCUUAAAACCGACGGGAAAAAUAAAAACCGACAGGAAUUUCCAGUUUUCUGGUAGUGAACUAGGAGAGAAGUUUACAAAGAAAACAGACAGGAAAAAUAAAAACCGACAGGAAUCUCUGGUUUUCUGGUAGUGAACUAGGAGAGAAGUUUACAAACACUGGAGAGUGAUGCAGCAAGAAGUCCACACUCCAUAGUCCAUAGUCCAUACUAGGACUCCAGUAGACUACCAGUGCAUCGGAAAAAUCUUCUCCGUUCACUUGAUUUUCACCUAAUCAGGAACAUUCCCCUGAAGGUUUGUACUAGAUUCUAAAGAAACUUCCCUUUUUUGCAUUCCGUGUUGUAAAUUCACAUGAUUUUGGAAUGGAAAAAGUAAUACCAAGUCCUGCAUCCUCUCAAGUUUCAAGCACAAAUAAGUUUCAUAUUCUCCUAAGUAAUUGUUACAUUUGUACUGCUAUACUUGACUUCCAAAUGAACUUCAUAUGAAAGGAAGUGUGUGUUAUGGGGAAAUGAAAAUCACAAACGUGUUUCACUGAACAUCAAAACACGUGAUCGAAGAUGGUAAUAGAAAAAAUGUUCAAAAGUACUAUAUACGGCUGAGUUAUUCCUACUACUAUAUAGCAAUAAAAAGAAAAGAAGGAAACUUCAAGGUAGCUACACCUAUACAUGGAUGUAAUUAACAAGCAACUCCAAUUGUAUUUCCACUGUAGUCUACUAGAAACCAGAAUAUGCAACACAAAAGGAUGUGAUGAACACAUGAUCCAAACUGCUAUAAAGAUUACAGGGUACCUAUGUGGAUAUUGUGUUAGAGAAUGAAAAAACAAGAGAGCAUACAUACUUAUCAUGUAUGAUGUCACGUUAGAAAAAAGAAGUCAAAUAAACAUGACAAUUGGACACUUUAGAAACAUAGGUGAUACAUCACAACCAAAAUUUCUAGGUUAGUCGGUGGUGAAGAGCAAUCAUUUUCUAUUUAGGUGGUACAUAGACCAAAAAUUCUAUGUUAGUCGGCGGUGAAAAACAAUCAUUUUCUAGACGUCAUUUCCUUCCGAGAACGUCAAGAGUGAUUUCUCCCUAUAUAGUUGUAGGAACCAGUAAUUUAUGCAUUGAGCAAAAAUGAUUGAUCAAUAGUUCUAAAGAAAAUAGUGGCAGUUUAUGUAUUUGAAUUCUUGAAAGAGUACAGCUCGUGAGUGUGACAAUCGGGAAAAGAAAAGAAUACCUCCCAGUAUAUCCCAGAGGCAGCGAAGGACAAAGGGCCCGUUCAAACUUUGCUACAGUACUCCGGUAGUAUGUGGCUGUGCUGCUCUUAACUUUGCUAAACGGGACAUGCCGUCCUUUAUACUGCAGGGUUCUCAGUUUUGGGAGGACCGUAUGGUCCAAUAGUUUCUUUUAGACGGAAUGGGCCAUGCACUCUCUUUUUCUUUUGACAAAAUGGGCCAUGGUUUUUAAACGAUAUGGGCAAUUGUCGCUUAUGAUGGCAACUAUGGGCUCGUCUUGGCUAUGAACCCAAGCCCAGUUCUUGCAGGUGUGGGUGUGUCAGCAGAACUGCGGCCUGGCCCGCACGCGCACGGGCGCGGGGCACCCGUCGGCGCCUCGGCGGCCGCCUGCCCGCCUCCAUCGCGGGCUUCAGGCGAGUACGCGACGGCACGCGCACUCCGCCCCCGCCAGCCAGAACCCUGGCCGCAGCUGUGCGCGCCGGUUCGCCGCCGCGCGUUUGCCACCACGAUGCUCACUCCACCGAUGACCGCAUUGCCAACUCAAUUUCAGGUAUGGAAGCACCAACUCCGACAAAACCUUUUUUUUCACAACCCCUUCUCCCAACUCUCCCAAGUAAACUUGGUGAUGGCAUAUUUAGCAGCAGGAAUCACAUAGUCAAGCAUUACUACAGCAAAAGAAAAAUGGAACACUGUUUUUCCGAUAAAGAAAAUGGAACACUGUAUGUAAACCAGAUUGCGUGAGUUCACAAAUAAGCCAUCAAUGAUGAUUACAGGUGACCCUUGAAAAAAAAAAGGGGAUGGUUACUGGUAGCAAAACUGAAUGUCCUAUAAUUGUCACCAGAAGUCUGCAUAGAAACGCAGCCUGCAGGUUUCGACAUAGCACGAGCAACGAUGGAUCUGUUGAUAUAUUUUUCAGAUAUCUUUUAGCCAUCAAGACGAGCAAAGUGCAAACAUAAACUACAAUGCAUGGUGAAUUUGCAGGGGAAAAAUCUAAACCAAAACUGAGGAAGCGUGCAAAGAUAAUCCUGAAGUUUGCCAUGAACGAAAAGGUGUGGCACAGACUCUUUCCCAUCAGUCAUAUUACCUGCCUGUGCGAGUUGGGACUGAAAACAGCAAACCUGAAUAUUUGUCGAACAUUUGACACAGUCUCAUAGUAAUUUGAUCGCUCCAGUAACAAGAUAAGGUGGAAUGGAUAAAAAAAAUAAUUACUACAGCAGUCCUCUCUGCUAAGAGAAUGCACAAGCCACUCAGUAUGGCUACUUCCAGAAAGUAUUUCAGCCCUAUUUAUGAUACAUAAGAAACAAUUGCAGUGUUAUCCUUUCUGCAAAAAUUCGCAGCUAGAAUGAAGCCUUUACAUCGUUUACUGAUAUCCAGAUUUACAGACAGAAUGGGAGGCGAGGGCGAUUGUGACUGCGGAUGUAGCGCACCAGAUCAUCGCUAUAGUUCUUGUGGUAAACAAUCGCGUCGCUCAGCUGCUUAAUGGCUUCUCUCUUCUCCUGCACUCUAGCUGCUAGCUCUUCUUCUUUCUCUGCCACCGUCUUCUCGAGCUGGACCAUCUUCGCUUCUGCAUCAGCUGUGUUCUUCACCAUUUCUGACACCAAUUUUUCUUUCUCUCUCAACCUGACAGCCAUCUCAUCAUUCUCCUUGACAAGCUCCUUCUGUUCAUCAAGAUGAUCAUGUAGCUUCUUCCUCAGGACAUUAAGCUCUUCACCACAUGCAGAUGAACGAUCAACGAAGAGUGCAAAACUCUGACACAAGAGUGGUUCUAGCUCGUCCAAUUUGUCAGCCAAUUCAGAGACCCCUGAUUCGGCAUGUCCUUUUACUUGCAUGAGAGUUUCUUCCAGCAAGUUGACUCUCCCAGAAAAUUGUUUUACCAGUUGUUCAAGAUGAUGGAUCUCUGCCUGUGAUGUCUCCACUGCCAUUGCGUAGCUGUCUUCUUUGCAUUUGCUUUCUGCCUCGGUAACUUUAAGCUUCUGCUUGGCUAGCUGGAGUUGAACUUCAAGGUCUUGGACAUCCUUUUGUAGCUUUGUGUUCUCCUUAUUUGCAGAUAAAUUUUCCUCUUCCAGAAGUCGAUGUUUCUCCAAAGUUUCUGUGUGUUUCUCCUCUAGUUGACCUAUCUGCUCAAUCUGAAGCCUCUUAAGUAUCUCGAGCUGGGAGACCCUCGAGGACACCUCAUCAUAUGCAUACUGAAGCCUCUGACAGCUGCUAGCAACCCCUUUCAGGCUCUGGCGGAGAACCACAAGUCCAGCCUCAUGAUCUGAAUUUUUUUGUGUAACUCUAUCUUCAAAUUCCGUCAUAAAUGACAUGUUUACUGUGCAUGCUUCAAUCAUAAUUUUUAGAUCCUCCUCCAACUUGGUCUUUUGAUAAGACAAUAGAGCGAUUGUCUUCUCCAGAUCUUUUGUUUUUGUACUCAUGUCAUCAAUUUGACAAGCUGCUUCAGCCUGAGCCUUCUCGAGAUUCUCAUGUAGGUUAGAUACUUUUAGUAUUGCCUCUUCCAACUGCUUUUCCAAGGUAGAAUUAUUUUCCAGCUGAACUGAAAGUUCAUCUUUCAGCUGUGUCACCUCAUUCGCAAGAUUUUGUACUGAAUCCUCUGAUUGCUUCAGCUUUGUUAGCACUGCAUCCUUCUCUUCUUGUGUAGCCUUAACCUCCUGCUGCAGCUCAGCCUUGGCUUGUUCUGAUUGCUCGGUCAAAGUACAAAUGAUCUUCUGUGACUCAUCAUUAGCUUGCUGUAGAGUUGAAAUGUUCUCGUUUUGGGUUUGAAGGGCAAUCUCAAGAUUUCUGACAGAAGCCUGAGACGUCUGUAACUCCAAUAGCGUUGCGUCCUUCUCUGCACGUAGUUCUGCAAUUUCAGCAUGCGUACUGCUCCUGACUUCUUCCAACUGCUUGUCCAAGGUGGAAUUGCUUUCUAGCUGAACUGAAAGAUCCUCUUUCAGUCGUGUCACCUCAUUCUCAAGAUUUUGUACUGAAGUCUGUGACUGCUUUAGUUGUGUUAGUGUUGUAUCCUUCUCUUCUUGUGUUGCCUCAACCUCCUUCUGCAGCUCAGCCUUGGUUUGUUCUGAUUGCUCAGUCAAGGUACAUAUGUUUUUCUGUAACUGAUCAUUAGCUUGAUCCAGAGUUGAAAUCUUCUCACUUUGCUUUUUUAGCACACUCUCCAAGUUUCUGACAGAAGCCUGAGACACCUGUAACUCUGAUAGAACUAUGCCCUUCUCUGCUUGUAGUUGUGCAAUUUCAGCAUGCAAACUGCUCCUGACCUCCUCCAAUUGCUUGUCCAAUAUAGCAAUGUUGUUCUUCAGAUCUUCAUUAGCUAGAUUCAUUUUUGAGAUUUGCUCUUUUCCUUGCUCCAAUUCAAUUCUAAGAUUCUUGAUAGAAGCCUCAGACUGCUGCAGAUCUGAAAUUAUUUUGUUCCUUUCAUCUUGUAAUGCUAAAAUUUCAGCAUGGUGACUAACCUUCGCCUCUUCCAGUUGCAUCUUCAGGUUGGAGUUACUAUUUUGUAGGUCUUCAUUAGAAAGCUGCAGAACAGAAAUUUGUUCAACUUGUUGUUCUAAAUUGCUUUCAAGAUUAAUAACAGAAGCAGCAGCUUCAUUUUUUUGUCCUUUUACUUCUACAAUUUCAUUAUGCAUGUUAGAAUUUGCCAGCUCCAGUUCUUCAGUAGUCUUCUGCAUAUCUGAAAUCCUCUCAAGUUGUUGUGCUAGCUCAGUCUUAAGAUUCAUCAAAGAAGCCUCUAGCUGCUCUACCUCUGACAUGGCCGAAUCCUUCUCCUCCUGUAGCUCGGCCAUAUUACUAUUCAUAACAUUUCUUGUUGAUUCCAGUUCCUUUUCUAGAUCUUUAAUACUAGACUGUGCCUUCUCUAUCUCAUUCAAGUAUAUGGAAUUUUCUGAUACUAGUCUUUCUUUUUCUUCUGCUGCAUUAUUACGCUCCUUGUCUAGAUUGUUCAUUAACUCUGCGGCCUCGACUUUCAGGCCAUCUAUCUCCAACCCCAGUUGCUGGAGUUUUCUUUCAGCUGAAUGAUUUUCUGUGAUCAAGGAUUCAUUUUCAGCGGUGAUUUCUGCAAUGGCUGCCUUCAGUUGAAAGCACUCAACAUCUAAAUUCUGAUGAAGUGCUUUCAGGUUAUCAUGCUCAACCAACAGCAUCAAGUUAUCAUUCUUCAGCUUCUGGUUUUCUUCCAACAAGGCAUGCACUUCUUUCUCAGCCUGUUGGGCCUUCUCAACUUCUGAUGAUAGGAGGUUGCAUUUGUCCAUUGUAUCUUUCAGCUGAUUCCUCAUAUCUUCCUUCUCCUUCUCGAUGUCUACAAUUAACAUCUUCAGGUUAUCUCUCUCUUCUUCAAUAAUCUGCUUCUCACCAGACAAUGUUGUGACCUCGGUCUCCUUGGAUUUUAAGGUGUUAAGCAAUUCUCCUUCCUCCCUCUUUGCAGUUUCAACUAACAAUUUCAGAUUUUCAUACUCAGAUGACAAAUUUGCAAUCUCUGAACUUGUAGCUUCUUUAUCCUUGAUUGCUUUAUCAAUUAGCUGCUUCAGAUCAGAUAUUUCCUUGGCCUGUUCUUCUGUACUUUGUUUCAGCUUCUCAAUCUCUGCUUCCAUGUUAUUAUGCUUAGUAGGCUUAUGGUUUAGUCCGUUUUCUUCAUUCACUGCUACUUUUGGUGCAGUGACAUCAUUGUCUGAGCUGUCUCCUUCUGCGUCUGAAUCAGAUGAAUCUGAACCAGAGGAACGGUGGCCAACAUUUUCUAGUUUGCUAACUAGUUGUUUGUAGUGCUUGUGAAGGUAUUGAUAGUCCUCAUGGAAGCCCUUCACAAGGGAAGACAGCUUUGAUUUCUUGACAGGAUUUCCAUAAUCAUCUUGUUCAUUCUCAAUUUGCUCGUUCUCUUCUCCUAUCAUUCGCAAAAUGUUCUCCACAUUCUCAUCAACAUCUGAAAAAAACAAAAUAACAACUAUUGUUCUCAGACUAUGUCUCGCUAGAAAUAGGAUAGAUAUUAGUUGAACAAGCUAGAAUUCUUCUUGAAAAAUGUAAUUAUAGCAAUGUCAAAAACACUUUAAUGGUGAAAUACGAACAUAUAAGAUCAUUCAUGUUCGGUGGGUAUUAGAAUCACGUUGAGAUCAGCCACAAGAAUGUCAGAAAGGAACAACAGUAGAUCAGUAGGAGUUUUCAUCUGUGUAGAAACUGCACUUCGAGAUCUCUGUGCCAACAUAAAAACUCCUUUGAGUAAAUAUUAGUCAUGAAUUCAGACAGUACCCUUUUUGCUCUCCAAAAGAUGCUUGGACUUCCUAAUUUUGUGUUUCUUUGUCAUAAUGAUGUUCUUGUAUCCACAAGCUUUGCUAUUUUUAUUGCAGGAAAUCUUUCUCAGACAAAAUUGAUCAUAAUUGAGGUCGUAUGAUGCUGCAAUCCUGAAUAGCUUUGUUCCUGAAAGGGUUAAAAAAAACACAAAGACAGUGAAUGGGAAGUCACCUGUGGAUAAUAUCUCAUCUACAAUAGCAAAAUUAUCGAAAGGAAGAUCAACAUAAAAAAUACAGGUUGUUCAAUAGAAACUAUUUAACUAGUUAAGGACUGAAAAAUAUCAUCUGCACUCAGCACGCACAACAGCUGAAUAAGUAUAAAUUGGAAAAGAUGGAAGCCCCCUCUGAAGGGGUACAUAUAACCAACUUUUGCAAAAUAGGAGUUGAAUGUACAGCUAUAUUUCCAGAGUGCACAGAAAUAUUAAUUUGUGAAGCUUAUAUCCAGAAUUUGGAGCCUAAGUUAGUAGCAGCAGUAACCUUUAUGCUCUUGCACUUAGACGAAGCAGAAUGGAAAAUAUUUCAAGCUUGGAUCGUAUAUUCUAUAACUAAAUAUGCACUUCGAAUUAUAAAGUAAUAUAAUUUACGUUAUAAGGUCUUGAUUAAAUUUACAAAUAAAUGAUUUCUCUGGAGGCCCGUUGUUAUGUCAUGAUCUCCUUCAUUUGUAUGCGGUAAUAUACAGCAUGGAUCGUAAGUGGUCUAUUAAUCAAAUAAUUGUUAUGGCCUAAAAGUCUAAAACGUCAAUUUUGACCCUCUAACUAGGAAUAUUUUGCAAACAUCAGCUAUAUUGUGAUUUUUUAGGACAAUUUCAUUAUAUCAUGCUUAAAAAACAUCUUUUUUUGAUGCAAUCACUGGGGAGACGAUGGGUCCCCACCUGAAUAUAUUACCACGGGGAUGCCGGCGUGCUGGUAAUAGUAAGUUUUAAAAUGACAGGCCGUAGCCUGGAAAGAAAAUGAGAGGAGGCAUGUCUAUACUAUAGCCGCAUUACAUGGCAAAUCUAGAGCACCAGAAAUCCAUCGCUGGACGUUGGGAAUAAACUGGGUAAGUGGAAAUGUAACUCAGUGAUAAAUAGGCAGAUAUGAUGCCAUGGUUGGCGACCUGGAAGGCAAAUCACUUGUAAAAUCAUUACAUUUUGCAUUUUGGAUCUUGGCAAACUAUGCUUGACAGGAAAAGCUUUUUAUAAACUACAACAGUGUGCCCAUUAACGGCAUAUAUUGAGACUAAGGUACAUAAUAAACUAUGUACUUGUGGAAGACACUUUGGAAGCCCAUAUAUGUUGCAUUAUCUUAGAUUUGUAAUAAGAAAGAAGACAGUCUUGAUGAUUUUGCAAAGAUUGCUGAUAAACACAUGAACAGUACUAAAUAACCACAUCAAUAUUUGCAGAUUCUUCUUCUCUGUCAUUACUAAAGGUUUGAGAUGAUGCCGCAUGGAUGUUUUGAUCUUCCAUGCCAAAAAACCAUAUCCAUCUCAAAACCAGAGUCAGACUAAGCUAAAUUGCAAUGCCUGGAUGAGUACAUUAUAAAAAGUUCAAUCCAGUUCCAUCUACCAAGUCGAGUGGGUGCCCAAAAUUUACAAACCUCUUGGGCAGCAUAACUUCAGACAUAUCUGAAAUGCAUAUGGGUAGGCCGUAGGCCAUAGUGAGCCAUGCUGAAUGUGAGCCUUCUGCUAAUAGAAGUACAACAUGGUAGUAUUUUCGGCCUGGAACUAUCGUGGUGUGUUUGAAAAACAGCACGCAUAUGCGAUCUUAGAGAUCUCCAAGAGAGCCUAAAAAAUACUCCCAAUAACUUAGUUUUUGGUACAAAGAUCUGCCUGUUCGCUUCAGCUUAUUCAGCCGGCUUAUCAGCCACCAAACAGUAUUUUUCUCUCACAACAAAUCAGCCGUUUCAGCUUUUCAGUCGGCUUAUAAGCUGAAACGAACAGGCCAAAUCGGAACCUAGGCCCACUUCUUGAUGAUGUGGCACAAUUUAAAUUUUUUUGGGAAAGUAUUUUUGGGAACUGUUGGAGAGGGUGCUUUUUUUACUCCUAAUAUUUUCUGGCAAGGUCCCAAAACUAGUUUUUUUGGACUCCAUUUUUGGGCACUCUUAGAUAUGCUCCUAUAGGGGAAAUAGCAGCCCGAAGGAAUUUUUGUCAUACAAAAUCAAUAAAAAACACGAAUGGUAACGACACGCGGGACCCGGCCCGGCCAGUGCUGAAACAGUUAGCAAACUAAUCCAAGAAGACAGAAUUAAGAAGUGAUAAGUGCUAACCACUCGGCAAAUAUAUUCAAAUAUCAAGAAAGGGAGAAAAGGAAAAAAAUGAACAAAAGAAACAAAAGACGGAGGUUAGUAACAGAGAGAGAUGCUUAUGGCACUAACGCUUAUUCUAAUCUAGCAUCUCCAUCACUCCAUGUCAGUUGCCCCUUGCCACAUCAGAACGCACACGACCCAACAACGAUCCAUCCAAGAACACACACAGCCAUACGGAAAUUUCUCCACUACCGCAAGAACAUUAGUAUCACAGCAGCAGCACACCCAGAUCAGAGAAACGAGGAACUAGAGGGAGAAAAUAACUGGGAGAAUCAAGACACAUACCGCCGAAGUGCCGCCGCCUCCUCCUCUACAGCUAUCUCCCACCACUUCUUGAACCCAAAACAAGAUCUGAGAAAAACGAAAAAGAAACCAAGCAUGAUCAAAGAUUGCACACCACAGUUGCAACCAGUCAAAUCACAGGGACCUGUCACCUGUCAGAUAAAACAGGGAGCACGCCCCCAACAAGAAGAGACGAAAAUGAAACCAGACCAAGGCGCGAGAGGAGCAGUUACCUGAAGACUAGGAUGAAUCGCUUGGUCGACGAAGCAAGCAGAGGCCGCAGAGAACCAGCCCCAGAGGCUUCUUCUCCACUAGGCUCUCUGAAGUGAGCAACUCUCGCCUUGUCUUUUUGAAGCCGCUGGAGCAUCUGCCUGAGGCCCAGAGAGCCCCCCGUUUUGAUACCUUAUUACGAGAACGCCACCGAACCGAAACAGCGCUCCCGCCAUUGCAAGCGCGAGAGCACGAGCUACGGCCACCCGGAGGCCGGGGCAGGGAGUAGCAAGCGGCAGCUGCCAUGCGGGGCCCGCGACGGGCGGGGUCCGAGCUGGCGGGGCGUGGGAGCCAGCUGGGCUCCGCGGCCGGCCUUUUUGUCUCGUCCGCGUUCCCGCCUUAACGCUAGGGAGCCCAGGAUCCUCUACAUCAGGACAUAGGAAACGUAACUCAUGGACCCAUGGGCAAAGCACAACUGCAGAAGCGCUAGAAUGCAUUGAAAAUAGCAAACAUUUUUGGUAAAUUAUCAUGAAACCAUUUUUUCAUUCCACGCACAAAAAAGAGAAUUCUUCAAACCAUGUAUAUGCAAAAUCACUACCAUCCGUCCUACAUAAGCUAGGGUCAAUAUAGAAUAGCCAUGCUCUUUUAGCAUGGGUCUCACAUUCAUCAAGCUAAGCUAUUGUAGUCUUGCAGUAAUUUGCUAUGAAAACACGGUUUGCGAUUUCUAGUUUAGACUUGGGAAAAGUAUAAGAAUUGUUUCGAAAAAAUGUAUAGCAAAAUACGAGUCUUGGUCAUAGGAUACUUGCACUUCUAGAAUACAAAUUCUACUGCUUUUAUAAAUACAAAUAAAACGGUUUUCUAUGAAUUGCAAUGACCUUUCAAAAAGGCUCGAUUCUUAGUUUCUCAGGACGAUGGAAGGUGGGAUGAAGAGCGGCAGCAUUCCGUGCCACUCUGUUCCUUGUGCAGACAAUCAUUGGUCAUGUUUCUUUUUUGAAUGCCAUGAUCAUUGGUCACGUUUGUGGAGCAAUGUUGGGGCCUGACGAGGACGGCCUCCUUCAUUUUCGUCCAUCAGAUGGUGCGCGGCUCUGCUUUUGUUCAUGUUGCCUUGCCCAGGAAAGAAUAUUUUGGGGAUUCAGCUCCGUGGACUCCAUAGCAUUCAUCUGCUAUCUGCAUAUAAUAGUAAUAAACUGUAACCCUCUGUGUCUGCCUCACUGGUUAUCCAUAUACCCACACCAAAUCCACACCCAUUUUAAAUAGGGAGGGUAUCGGUAGAAAAUUAUAUACCUAUUAAAAUAUGGAGGGUACAAUUUAUCCAUUGAAUAUGUGUGGGAUUGGAGAGGGUAAAGAGUGGAUAAUAAUUAUUUUUAGAUUUGGGCGUGAACAAAAGUGAGUUUGUCCAUUCCCUCUCUAGUGACAGGUAUACCUUUGUGUACGUCAGAUGAGCAACGUGAGAACCAUAUGUAUCUGGAGCAUAUGUAUCCGGAGCAUGAUGAUGAAUAGGAAAAGGGCGCUUAGAAAAAUAGCAUAUCGGAUUAUCGAAGUAUCACGUAUCCGUGUAGUAUCGAAUUAUCCGUGCAACCUAACGAAGCGCAUGUAGCAGUCAAGCAUCUGAUAGGAACUAAUUUUUCCCUUUAUUUUUUCAAGCCCCCUAAGCUUGAUAGUAACAAUUUGUAAUGUAACCACAUGAUGCGGUGCGUGCAAGUAUGCAAUUGAUGUAGACAACGUUGAUAAGUAUGACGACUCAUAAAAUAAAGAGAUUGUUGUUUGGACAUAGAACUGCUCCGAUACUCCUCUUUUAAGUUUUAGCACAAAUCUUUAAGUAACUCACUAAUUAAUUAAUUAUUUUCUUAAUUAAAUUUCAUAUUAGUCCCAAAUGGGCUUCGCAUGACCCUUCCCCAGCCCACGCCCGCGACACCAUGAUCCAUCCCCAUUCACUUUCGCUGCUCGUCUCUUCCUUUCCCCUCGAUCCCCUUCGUCGGUGUUAUUUUGUUUCGAUGCCAUCGACCUGAGGGCUCCGCCGUCGGUGUUGUUUCAUUUUACAUCUAAACCAGACGAGAUCACGCACCGCACUCCUCAACUCACCUGCCGCGCCCUGAUGGACGUCACACACUUUGUGCAUUGUUUGUGCUCAAGUAUAUGUAUAUGAAGUUAGCGUUGGAAUGGGACAAAGAUGCAGGGAAAUUUCACACUGGUAACAGUAGUUUACUUUCAAUCGCACCAUGCUCGCUCUUCGUGGGAGUUGGUCGAGAUUGUCAUGUUGCAUCUGAUUCGGAUGACAUUUAGCAAUGUGCCGUCGUGGAGCACUAGCUGCAGCCUGCAGCCGCUGGCUGCCUGCCAUGGCACGAAUGACCUUGCUGCCGUACUUGCCGCCGCGGCCGCCUUCACCUCACCAGACACGCAAAACGAAACGGUGCCUGCGGGAGUGGAUGGCAUGAAUGGCCUUGCCUCCGUGGAGUACUGCUCGAUGGCGCCGCCACCACCGUGGAGCGCUCGCCAGCAUGUGAAACGAAACGGUUCCGAAGAAGGGGAUCGGAGGAACGGACUAGCGGGAAAGCGGAUGAGAAUGGAUCAUGAGUUUGGGGGAGCAUGGGCUGGACAAGGGUAGGGCCAGGCCCAUUUGUGGCCCAUGCGAAAAUUAAUUAAGAAAAUGAAUUAAUUAGUUGGUGGGCUGCUUUAAGAUUUGUGCUAAAAGUUAAAAGAUGAGUACCGAAGCAGUUCUCACGUAGGAAUUUGUCUGUUGUAGAAUUUUAAGAAAAAAGAAAAUCUCUGAUGCUGGUUUCCUUGGAGCAGAAAAACUGCAACUUGGGAGCUAUAUAGGAGAGCUGACUCCUUUUUGGGAGGCGGACUGUGGAGGAGCUACAGAUAAAAAUCGGUGUGGAACGGAUCCAUCCAUACUGGCGUGGCAUCACACUGCCCCUCACCCAAUAUUCCUUCCGAAUUCCGAUUGGGGGUUCAGAUCUCGGCAGCGCUGAUCGAUCGAUCGGUCGAUCUCGCCACCUGCAACGGAACGGGGACGUGGACGGAGCAUGUGACCCUGGUGGCCUGUGGGGUGCCGAUCCGUUGCCUCUGUAGUCUGUACGGGGUGCGAGACAAGAUGGCACUGUGCGAGCAUGUUAGCUGCAGCGCCCGUUGUGCAUGCCUCCGUCGCCCAUGCUUGGACUCUGUACGAGGUGCAUGUGCACAUAUGCGCGCUAGAGCCGCAUCGGUUAGCUGUUCCGGGGAAGCCUUUUGUCUUUGUCUCCAUAUAUGCAAGACUGCCCUCUACGGCGAGAGCAGGGAGAUCUGUCAUGUGCUCCGUAACGUUGGCAGUUGGUUCAUGCGCGAUCAACUCACAUUCCACCGGAGCUGGGGAGCACGCACAGGGAGGGCAUAAGAGACGCUCCAGUCCAGUCCAGUUCCAACAAACCCAUCAGCGACCUUUUUUUUUUCCUGGAUUUGUCUGAAUGACAGAAUCAUGUGACGUCGUCCUAGUGAGUGGUGUGCGGUCUGGCCCAAAAUAAAAUGUGCACGUGGGCCGUAAGGUUUCGGUUUGUGUCUAUAAGGCCUAGCCCAAUUAAGUCUCAGCCCACGGUAGGAUCGGUUUCUAGCUGUUGUGCUGUUCAGCGUGGACGACCGUCGUCGCCGUCGGUUGCCCCGUGGGCCAUGGCCUCUCUGCUAGAGACCGAUCAUGAUGCACGUGCUGUUGACCACCGUGUGUAUAGAGUAGACUUUACAUUUGCGUAAAAAAAACCCAGAGAAAUCUGUUAGAUCUCGCUACAAUGAUUUAUGCACCAUCCUUUCAAUGUAUUUGUGCGCGCGCGCGCGUGUCAUGGAUAGCUAGAUUGAUCCUUGAGCACUUUAACAUCCACGGAUUCAUCAAUGCACAUCCUCUUAUUCUCUUUAUAGUACGACGUAACUAACUCAAUUUCAAAAUAGAAAAUGAAUUUAAAUCUUCCCCUCUUGUACGCAUACAUCAUGAUCAUUGGUAAUUUGCAUAUCAUACCCAAUCACAAGUUUUUACACACCUUGCCUACAUAUCUUAAUAUAUUCAUUAGUCUUUUGGUCACUAGAGAGAGCCUGGAUACACUUUUCAACUUUACGUGUGCAUAAAAAAAACUUGAGAGAGAUCUAGAUGCAAUGACAUAAGCAUCACCCCUUCCAUGUUUUUUUUAUGAAACGCCCCUUUGAUGUAUAAAACGUUGUGGAUGAAUUGUCAUUGACCUGUUUUAUCGAAGUUAGUAGGGAAGUUCCUACCUAUUUUUUAUAUAAUUUCUAGAUCCGUUUAAUUUGCUUCCACGGAGAGUCGAAUCCGAGCAUGCUAGGUGUUACUCAAGUGCUCUAAUCAAUAGCCUAGAGGCCCUUUUAUAAUUGUCUUUGAGCCGUUGGGAAUGUGAUAAGCAACAAGGCUAGAUUGGGAUGCUUCGCAAGCGCUGUUGGAUGCAAUGCACCAUCUUUUAUCCUCUAGCCAAGCUUGACUUUACCUUUUUUGAAUUGGGUCCGAUCCCAGAUUUAAUCCAUUUUUAUAGAAAUUAAUAAAUGAAAACAAUCAUGGAUUGGCCAUGUAAGAUAGGUGCUAUUAGUGUUGUGAUGUGAUAAUUGAGAAUAAAGGUCCACAUGAUAAUUGAUAAUUGAUCCACAAGGAAUUAGGGUAUAAAUGGACCUACAACAUGGAAGUCUAUUAAUGUACUCUAUAAAUAUGAGGGGUGGGGCUAGGGACGUAUUAUCCCACCACGCCAUAAAACCCUAGCCGCCACUUCCUCUCGACCUAAUCCCGAGACCCUUGCCGCGCGCGCGGUGCUAGCACACCAGCGCAAAAGUAUUUCUCUCUUGUACGUGUGGACUCCGUGAAGGUGUUUCUUUUGUGCUAAUCGGCUACGACGGCACGAGGUUGCUGCUGGAUGAGGAUGAGGCGAUCGUGAUCGACUACUUCCUCUAUGCCGAUGCACAUCUAUAUUGGAUCGGUUGCUCCAACUCUUCUUCUGUUGUGUUGUGCGUCUAGUGAUAAGGAUACAUGACCCCCUUAGUUUCCUGGACGAACGCAGUAGAUAUAAUUUAUUGUAGCUAGAGUAUUCAACUUGUAUCCCUUCAAGUAGAUGCUAGAUACAUGCUAUAAGGUUUAUUACAAAUAAUAUUUAGUUAUUUUGGAAACAUAAUAUUUUAAUAUAAGUGUUAUUUCAAAGACAGAAAAAAUAUCACAUUUGGAUAUUUUCCUUAUUUCUUAUUUGUGUCCAAGAAAAUUCAUAUUUUGAAAAGGCGAUGGCAUAGAGUUUUUGUCGGUUGCUGUGGGAGUAUACGUGCACCACAUAGUUGUAACUGAACCGUUACAUAUAUUUUGAAUUGGAAAGACCUCAACAUACAAGAAUAUUUUUUGGAACUAAAACAUCAUGCUAGAAAUUAGUCGGGUGCAUACCGCAAAAAAAAUCAUUUUCCUGUUCGCUUCAGCUUAUAAGCCGGCUGAAAAGCUGAAACGGCUGAUUUGUUGUGAGAGGAAAAUAUUGUUUGGUGGCUGAUAAGCCGGCUGAAUAAGCUGAACCGAACAGGCCGUUUGUCGCUAGGCCUAAAUGGUACGUCUUCUCCGUUAGAGUAGAGUUUAUUAGAAGAAUUUGUAAAAAGUACAGUGCUCCAACAGACUUCGUUUACUUUUUCCUUUUCCCAAUAAUUAUUGAGACAACCAAAAAUUCACCCUAACUCUCCCCUAAAUAAAGGAGGAGUUAUGACUCUCCUAAUAUGGUAGUUGGAUUGUGAUGAGACUAUUGAGAGAUUGCAAAAGUAAUUCUGCUAAUAAUAAUGAAAUGGAUAUUUGGAUAUCCCAUUAACUUAGGCCUUGUUUGGAAGGAGGGGCUAAAAUUUAGCCUUGGGCUAAACUUUAGCCCUCUCAAAUGUUGAGGCUAAAGUUUAGCCCUUGGGGUGUUUGGGUAAGGGGUUAAAGUUUAGCACUUAUGUUGACAAAAGACCUAUUUACCCAUGUUGGAGGAGUGAGAGGGAGGAGAGAGAGAGGGGCAAGGGAAGGAAUUUUGGAUAGGGGGACCACUUUUAGCUCCUUUAGUCCAUUUUAGCACCUCUUGAGGGGCUAAUGGAUUAUGGGGGCUAAAAUUUAGCCCCUCCAUUUUAGCCUAGGUAUUGGGAGCACUAGUGGCUAAAAGUGACUAAAAUGCGGGUGCUAAAAUUUAGCACCCCUUUUCCAAACACCCCUUUAGAGCAACUCCAAGAGUAUCCUAAAAAAUUCUUCCCCAAAACUAUGUAUUGGGAGUUCUCCUAAAAAAAAUUUCCCCCAAAAACAUACCAGUCCACAGCAGAUCGCUAAUAAAUAGCUCCCAAUAUUUCAAACACAGGCCACGUCAUCGUAUUGGGCUCAUCGGAAGGGACGCGCGGGCGUGCGGGAAUCAGGAUUGGGGGAGGAACGCCAACGCUAAAAUAUACGCGGUGGCAGGCUGUUUUUUAGCACCGCUAAAAAAUUAGGGAAGGUUUAGGUGGAUUGUUGGAGUUCAUUUUUUCUCUCUUUUUUCCUAAAAAAAGGUAUUGGGGUGAGAUUCCUCUUGGAGUUGCUCUUAGCUUAGAAACUAAAGCUAGCUUGACAUGUUCUCGUGGAAGAAAAAAAAACAUUUUGUCGUUGGUACCAACCGAAACGCAUGCCGUUUUUUGUUUUCCUUUAUUUUCUUUAGCAUAUGGCUGCAUGAUUGGUUGCACUUGAUUGCUGCUUCUUCACCGAGAAAAAGAAGAAGAAGAAGAAGAUGCUCCCUCGUCCUUGGUCAAAGCCCAGUCCUGAGUCUUUGGACCUUGGUCCAGCCAGCAGAGAAGAAGGAAGCCGAAGGAUCACCCCCAUGCUACGAGUACGACCGCCGCCGUCUCUGUCCCCCCUGUUUCGCUUCGGUUCCUCGAAACAAUCGAGGCGAGAAACCCCCAGCCCCAACUCCGCUGGAGCACGUCCCUCCACCACUCCACCAACUCCGGCCCGACCCCCGACCCUCGAGGCCAAAAACCCCAACCAGUCCCCAUCCACCACACCGCGGCCCCCCGAUUUCUUCUUCCUACGUGCGUGCCGUGCCCCCGGCCAGCCAAGGGCAUUCCGCGCUGCACCACCGACCGGCGCCCCGCCGGCACGAUGUCCUCCGGCUCCGGCGCCGACGCCUCCGACCGAAACGCCGCGCUCGACCGCCUCUCCGGCCCGCAGCUCGUGGCGUACCUCCGCACCACCAUCCGCAGGGCCGACUACGACGCGGCCGCGCGGGUGCUCGACGCGCGCGACCGCAGGCUCGCCGAGGUUCAGGCCGCGCUCGCCGAGGCCCAGGCCGUGCUCGCGGAGGUCCAGCCGGGCCUCGCGGACGCGCGCGCGGAGCUCGAGGCCCUGCGGGAAAACUACCACGCGCUCCAGGCGGCGCACCGCGGGCCGAUCAGGCUCCCCUCCCGUGGUGCGAUCGCGGCCCCGGCGCCGCGGGGCGACGGGCGCGACGAGGUCAUCGAUCUCUGCGACAGCGGCGGCGACGACGACGAUGACUGGGAGGAGGGGGAAUUCCGCCCGGAUGCCGCGGGGGUUUCUUGCAAGGCGAAGGGGCCCGCGCCCGAGGGCCGGGAGGGGCGCCGCGCUGGGGUUUCUUGCAAGAGGAACGCGCCCGUGGGCUCGCCCGACGACGACGAUGAUAGAAUCCCGCUGAGCCAGCUUAUGAAGAAGCGGCGGGGACCUCAACCCGUGCCUAAUGGCGAACCCAAGAAGGGGCAUGGAGAUGUGCAGGCGAAUUCCGUCGGACCUUCUUUGGGGGAUCAUCCGCCGGAAAGGCCUCCCGUAAACAGGGGAGCCCCCAAGGCAAGUGCGGGGCAGAGAGGCGGUGCCUCUCAGCAGCUAAAGGUGGCAGCUGUCGAGCAGGGGAAAGGGAGGAUUUGCCAAUCGAGGGAGGCCGGAGGACUCUCCAGGGCAAUGCCGACUCUCCCGCCCACCGAUUCCGCUGUUGGGAACAACUCCCAGAAGAAAUCCUCCAAGGCCGAUGGUGCUGAAGACGGAGCAAGAAUUGGUGGCAAACAAGGUUCUGCUGCUGGUCCGCCCUUUCAGGUGAGAGAAUCAGCGAGAGCCGGUGCUGAAACGCCCAAGGAGAACACUGGUUCUGCGCUGGAUGCAACUGUCAGCUUGGUUCUCAAUACUAUCAGAGAGCAGGGGAAAACAAAUGGUGGAAUGCACAAGAUGAAGGCGCCACUGGAAACUAAUGGAUUUGGGGAGAAAGCUUGUAUGGUUGCGAGAGAUAUUAGAGAGCAACAGAAAACACAAGGCCAAGUGCUCAAGACAGAUGUGUUGCAAGGAACUAAUGGCAUCGGGCAGCAAAAUGUUAAGCUCGGUACAGUUCAGAAUAGGGAGGUUAGUGAUGGAGCCAGACUCAGGACCUCAGAUAAGCAGGUGUCAUCCUCCUUGAAGCCAAACAACCAGCUCACGCUGCAUUCAGAGCAAAUGCCAUCGGAGAGGCCCACCUCCUUGCAGCCGAAUAACCAGCUCACGCUGCAUUCAGAGAAAAUGCCAGUAAAGAGUUCAUUGCCUUCAGAAGUUACAAGGAACUGGGAAUCUGCUUCAGAAGUGUAUACCUCAUGUCUAGUAAAUAAUGAGAUCUGUAUGCAAGCUGCCUGUGCUCUUCUCCGACAAAAGAAGUUAUCAAUUCAAGAAGGAAAAGAUGGAUAUACUGUAGUCAACAAAUCCGAUGUACACAGGUAUGUUGAAAUUGAGUUCCCUCGAGGUUAAAAGGCAUGUGCUUUAGAAUAAUUACCAUAUUUGUGUCCACACUUAUAUUGUUUUUUGCAUGACAGCAGCGGGCAUAGGCUUUAACUUUGUACUAUAGCUUGUCUCAGAAUUGUAUUUUAUUCAGCAACAAGCUGCUUUAACAUGCAUAUAAGUUUAACUCAUAUGGAAUUUUGAAGGCAAGAUCAAGCACAAAUCACAUAAUUUGCAAGUCGUGGACCUUGUGAGCUUUCUAGUUGCUUAAUUUGUAUUUCACUUUGAGCAAUGGCCAUUCUUAUUUGAAUUCUGUAAGAAUUUAAUUCCAACAUGGGUAUGGUGGUACCAGUGAGCAAUGGCCUUGUAUUUGGUUAUACCAGUAAGUGAUGUCUCCAGUUCAGUUCAAGUUUCCAAACUGUGUUCUGAUGCCAAAAAGAAAUCCUAAACUUUGAAAUGUGUAUCCCCUUGAAUGAGCUUAUGAGCGUAGUAUUUAGUUUCUAGUUUAAUAUUUAAUGGCUAUGAGUAGAUAUCCUGUAAUUUAGUCAAGCAAUGGCAUGGGUUGCCGUUAUGCAUGAAUCUUAAACUCAGCAAAGCAUCAUUAGACCAUUAGUUAAAUUACGAUUCUGGUGUUUCCCCAGUAUAAAACCUUUUCCUUGAGAUCCAUUGCUCAAUCCCUUGUAUAAAAGACCAUUGCAGUGCUAUUUCUAGCAAUAUUUUUUACAACAUUCUGAUAUCUAUGCAUUACGUUAUUUAGUAAAAUUGUGAUUCAGCUUGGCAACGCUUUGCCAAAGUUAAUAUAUUUAUUCAUGCUGACUUAGUUAUUAAACGACAUUUAUAGUAAUAUUAUGUGUCUAACAAUGCCACAGUACUUUGUUCGCCAUAGUGGUUUCUGAAGUUAUAAUCGUUUGAUGCUGCUACUUUAGGGCGGCUUCGUUGGCGGAAUUUCUUUUGGAUGGCAACCUUCAGGGGCCGCUGAAAAGAACCGCUGAGGAACUAGCGAAGCGUGAUUCUGGGGGCGUUGACUUACUUGCCAGAGUAGCAAUGGGAUUCUCCGAGCAGUUGUUCAGUAUUUACAGGAACAAAGAGGACCCAUACUUCCGCUGAAAGUGACAAAACAGUACAUGGUAAGGUUAGAAUAUCCUUAGUUCCCUACCAUAAUCAUCUGGAAGGGGUUACAAUGUUUUGUUGUGAUGUACUAUACAUCUCAUGCUGAAACUAGUCAUCAUAACGAUUAGAAUGACUAGCAGUUGCAGGGUUGCAGUAACUCUCUUUCUUUAAUUGCAUUGCACUUAAAAGAUCAUACUGUUUGAGCUCAUUGAUGUCCUUCGUUUAGUUUCCAUGUUAAGAUGUUGAUGAUGAGGUGAUAAAGAGUAUGAGCUGGAAAUCUGUAGGACAGAGAAAAUGAUUUUGCUGUAUCCUGUGGUCUGUGGAUCGGCAGAUCGACUGUUCUGCUGGUUGCAUUCUUGGUUCUGGCAAUUAAUUCGGAUUCGGAUCAACGUUGGUGUUAAUUCUCUGUGAGUUCGUUUGGUUGGUUAUGCUGGAUCCCGGGGGGGAAAAUUGAUUGCUGGCCGUGCGAACCGGAUGUGGCUCUGUAUCUGUUCUGACAGCUGCCUGAGUUCAGUCUGUCAGUCUGAAAUACCUCUCCGUUAUAUGAAGGGGCCGAGUGAAGGUGAAACAUGUCUAUGGUUCAUGCGCCAUACAUGGCGCAUCAACAUUGUGAACUGACACCAACAAAUACAGAGAGAUUUGUAUUUGUACGGUUCUUGAGCUCAUCGUCUCACCUUUUUGGUACUGCGAUCGUCGCUCUGUGUGCUGCGCGCAAAUGCUCUCCAUGUUGUAGCCUCGUAGGCUUGUAUCUGCUUACACUGCACAACUUCAGGCAUAGUACACUGGACUCGGGUGCAGAUUCCAAAGUUUCCAACCGCCGGAUGCUAAACAUAGGCGACGGGCGAGGCUUCGUCAGUCAUCGUCAUCCCAGGUAAAAGAAACCGAUCGACAGGUAAAGAUACCGAACGUGACCUGAAUCCGAGCGCGCGAGGAACGAGGCCUUCCGUCCCCUCUCGAUCGGGUCUCGGCUCGGCCUGCAUGCCUGUUCGCGUUCGACCAUCCGGAUAUAGGGCUGUAUAAAUCGGGGCGCCCCCUCCUGCACCGCCGAGUCGUCGAAACGCCGAUCGCCGCCGCGCUCUCUCCUUCUCGUCCUGAUCCCCCCAGAUCGAGCGAGAGGGAGGGGCACCCGGAGCAGCCCGUCGUUUUGAUCGGUGUCUCAGCCACCCCGUUCCCGCGAGGAGAACAAACAGGAACAGCCCCCCCAAAGAUGGCGCCGAUCUCGAGAGCCUCCGUAGUCCUUGUGAUGGCCGUCGUCGCCGUGCUCGCCGCCGCGGCCAACGCCCAGGCCCCCGCCUCAGCACCCGCCAGUGACGGUCAGUCAUCUCCACCCCUUCUCUUCACCGUUGUUUUUCUAGUCUCGCUGCUGCAUGCUUCUCUUUCUUGGGGAGGGUUUUGGGAGGAGUACCCGAUGCAGGUGGGAGGAGUGCACUAUGCAGCUACGUUGUUUGCGUCGAAUUGAAGAAGAGCCUGUCAGCCUGAUGACAGGGAUUUCUUUUUCUUCUUCUGAUGAUGAUGAUGGUGGUGAUGAUGAUUGGUAUCUCUUGUUCAUGGUUUUUGGCAGGAACAAGUGUAGACCAGGGGAUCGCCUACGUGCUGAUGCUGGUGGCGCUUGUCCUCACCUACCUCAUCCACCCCUUGGACGCCUCCUCCGCCUACAAGCUCUUUUAAAAUCAAUCAUUUACUUUCGAAUUUGGCGCUGAUUAAGGUGUAAUUAAUGGUGUUCGAUUAAUUGAUCCAGUUUGCUCCAGAAUCAGGAAAGGAAAGCUAUGCGUGCAAUCCUUGGUACCUCUACGCUUUUUACGAACUUUCAGUAAUUCGAUCCGGUCACCUCCGGCGUAGCCUCAAGAAGUAAUGCAACACAUACCAAAGGUUCUAUAAGAAUUCUGACGCUGACAACAAUCAAUCUCGUCCAAUGUAUCCAUGUGAAAUCUUUUAACUGGCGACUGUAAAUCGACAUCGGGAUGUAGGGUGAUAAUUUUUGUAGGUUUUUUUAGGUGUAUUAGUAUUACUCGCGACAUAAAUAGCAUACGUAGGACUAGUGAUAUCAUUUGCUUAAGUGGGGGAUUUUCUUCAAAGGUUCGACCCCGAUCUAUUUCGUGUUCCAAAGCUGCAGGAUUUUUAGCUAAUAAGCUGAAAACGGACAAAUAUACCUGUCAAGCGAACUGAUUACACUGAAGUUAUCCUUUGGGACUGAACGAGAACAAUCCCACUAAACCCGGACGUGCCAGACUCCAUAACAUGAAAUCUUACUCGACACGGCGAGUACACGACGGCAUCGGCAUAUAGCGCACAAUUCUAAAAUUCAGCAUCGUCUGAUAUGGAGCGACUCAUAUGGAGGAUGUGGGCGUUGCCAAAGUGCAAAUUCUUUUCAUGGUUAGCCUUCCGAAACAGGCUAUGGACAACAGAUCGACUAAUUACAAGAGGAUGGCCGAAUCAAAGAGUAUGCAUGCUUUGUCAUACGCAUGAUGAAACAUUGCUACACCUGCUAGCAAAUUGCCGCUACAUAGUUCGACUUUGGGAUAAAAUUUUCGAUUGGACGGCCACCCACGUACCACCCAGAGCAAUCCCCAGACCAGAUUGGUCUGCAGUUUCAUCCGUCACCGAAUGGUGGACAUAACUAGGGGCUAUGCCUGGUGCGCCUCUUAAGGGUUUAAGAUCCCUUAUCAUUCUUGUGUCAUGGGAACUUUGGAAGCAGCGCAAUGAAAGAGUUUUUCAGUAGAAGUUUAAAAGUUUGAAUCAACUCUUUCACAAAAUCAAGGAGGAAGCACGAUGUUGGAUUUUAGCAGGCGCACGAGGACUUGGGCAAUAUCUGGCACAUAGAGGAGUGAUUGUUUUGUAAAAGUAAAUUCACUUUAAUUUCUGUACGAUCUUCGCCUUUUUUGGUUUUUUUGACCUAGACCUGUAACUCUCUUCUCUAUUAAUUAAUACAAACCUGGCAAUCUCUGCCGGGUCCACAGUUUCAAAAAAAAAUUACAAUAUAGUUACAGCUAGGAGGUCUUACGAAUUAGAAAUGAGGUUUAUUCCUCUUAAAUCGACUGACCGGUUGUUUAUCUAUUAAUCAGCCAAAUUUUUAACAAACACUUUAGGUUAGCAUUAUAGCAUUUGGGAACUGAGGACUUACCUGUGGUAGUGGUUGUAGAGCGUACCACGAUGUUCAUUGGCUAGCGGUUUUGCGGGAGGCGAGUGGGACUGCGAUGGUGAGAGCCCAUCGGUGGGCUAAGGAGGUAGUGAGGGAGCUCGAGCCACCAAAGUCGAACAAGAUUACAAGAAACACUUGCUAGGUGGCUCAGGCGGGGAAAAGGAGCCGGCCUAGGGAGCGAGGAGGCGUCAAGGUGAGGCUAUUGGCACCAUAAAUAGCUUGUUGAGGUGAAGAGAGGAGAUGUGGCGGUGGCGCGGGAGAGAUGUAGGAGAAAAAAAAGAAGAAUUAUGUUAUAAAUGAGGCAUUCAUUGGAUUUAAAAAUGACUUAUGUAAAAAUUAGUAUAUUAUCCAGGAGACAUGCCUAUUAAGAAAUAUAAAAGAAUUACACUAGAUAUUUGCUUAGGAAAUCUGUCGAAUUUUACCUCAGAAUGGCGACGACAUUCAUGCUGAGGUCCAUCCCCUCCGUGCCCGGCGGCAUCACCUCCAUUAACUCCAACGAGCUUUAGGAUUAGGGGCUCGGAUUUGGAGGAUUUGUGGCGUGCAACCAUAGAGGAGAUGCCCAAAGAACCUGGCAGCCCAACAAUCAUGGAAGUCACAAGGGCGGGAUGACAAUGCGUCGGUGGACCACAGUUAGAACUUCGAAGAAGUUAGCUAGGGCGGCAAAUCUGGUGGCACCCCAUCACCGGAAGGUGGCGUUGGAAAGCAGGAACACCAAAGUCAGAGGAAGAGGAAGGAAAGAAAGGGACAGGGUAGGCGACGGUAGGGUUAGAAAUGUCUGCGGCCGGUGGAUGGGGAAGACGGUCCGUGCCGGCACCAGGGGCGGCGCCAACAAGGUGGGGACGCGGCGCAUUUGCAUGUGUAUAGAUAGAUCCAGUGGUGUUAGGGGGCGGCGGGGAAGGAGCAAUAAGAGGAUAGGUUUGAGGAGGCUUAUAUGUGAGCCAUUUGCAAUCUGAGCAAUUUGUUGAGAUCCGACGUUUGAAAAUUCGACAUAUUUACUAAUUUAGUGACAUAACUUUGUUGAUGAAUGAAUAGAUAGAUCCAUUUGGAAAAAAAAAACAUAGCAAGGAGUCAUGAACCAUGAGGGUAAAAAAUUGCUUAUACAACGAUUGGUUGUUUUAGCACCACAAAUACACAGUAAUGUAUGAGUCCUUGACAUACAUAAGUUACAAUUUAAGUACUACAGAAUACUCUUGAUUUUUGUCCUCUCAUUUUUUGCAAAGCCAACUGUAUGCAUACACACUCAAACUCCAUGGAACUCUCUCUCAACCUAAUAGAAGCUGGCAACAUAUAAGAGUUGCUCUUAUUCUUGUUCCUUAAUUCCCACGCUGUUCAAACCGGCAACAAUUAUUACGUGCGUACUGUUAUAGUUUGGUAUAAUGUGUGCUCUGGAGGCACCGAUCAGGCAUGCAUGGAGCUCUGCCACUCUGUGCUAGAAACAGGCAUCUUGUCGUCCCUGCUCACGUCCGCAGCGCCCAUGCCCGGGCCGGCGGGAGCGCCGGAUCCAGUGCCGACGUUGCCGUCCUCCCCGGAGAUCUCCUCGAGCGACCGGCCCAUGGUCUCCGGGACGAGGAAGGUGAAGGCGAAGCCGAGCAUGUUGGUGAUGGAGAGGAUGAUGAGCGCCAUCUUGAUGUAUUUCACGUCGUCCGUGAGCGUGAGUCUCUGCACCCCGUAGGCGGCGACGAUGGCGCCGGCCUUGCCCGACGCGGCGCUGAUGGCGUGGCAGGUGGAGCGCACGCGCGUCGGGAACAGCUCGGCGGGGAGCACGAAGGUGGUGCUGUUAGGACCGAAGUUGGCGAAGAAAAAGGUGAGCGCGUACAAGAACGCGAAGAGCGUGGUGCGCUUGUUCCUGAGGCUCUCGUACAUGAUGCCCAUGGCGAGCAUGAACGCAGACAUCAUGAAGAAACCGAUGAGCUGGAUCAGGUACCUGCAGUGGUUGGAUCCAUCAUAUCGAUGUGUAUGUGUAGACUCAUUUUGUUUCAAAUAAAAUCCGAAGCAAGUAGUUGCUAGUAGCUAUGAAUCAAGCACGUACCUGCCCAUUUUGUCGAUGAGAGCGACGGUGACCCAGUAGCCGGGGAAGGUGCCGAGGAGCGCGACGAGGAACAUGGCCUUUGAAAUCUGGAACACCUCGGUCAGGGCGUUUAUCUCCUUGGCGGGGCUCGUGAGGUGGAUCGCCGGGAAGAUGUCCUUCUGGGUGAGGUUCUGGCUGUAGAAGGCGAUGUCGAGGAGGAACCACGUGGUGGCCGUGCCGAGGAGGUGCAUGCCGUGGCGGCGGGCGAACUCCACCGACAGCAGCGGGUAGUCGUUGGCCGCCUUGUACCUGGCGAGCUUCUCCUGCUCGGCCUGGAUCUCGACGUCCAUCACCUUCUCCAUGUCGCUGGCCGCCUGCUUGGCGUUGCCCUCGAUGAGCGCGGUGUACCUCGCCGUUUCGGGCAUCUUCAUCCGCCAGUAGAACGUGACCACCGCCGGCACCGCGCCGAUCAUCAGCACGAUGCGCCACAUGUAGUCCGCCGCCGGCCACUGGUUCGACGCCCUGGGGUCUUUGGGGUUCUGUUGGAUUGCUUCUUCAAACGAUGGCGCGGGGUGGUAGUGCAGGAGAAGGCCCGAGACGAUCAUGGACACGAGCCCCGCGAAGAUGAUCCCGACGCCCUGCAUGGCGAACACGGCGGCGAUGAAGGCGCCGCGCGUCUUCUUGUUGGAGUACUCGGACAUGAUGGUCGCCGACAGCGGGUAGUCGCCGCCGAUGCCAAAGCCGAGCCAGAAGCGGAAGAAGCAGAGCGUGCCGAUGACGGCGGAGGGGGAGCUGCCGAAGGAGAGGCCCGAGGCGAUGGCGCAGGCGGCCAUGAGCACGAGCGUGAUGCCGUAGACGCGCUUCCGGCCGAGCUUGUCGCCAAAGUAGCCGAAGACGAGCUGGCCCACGAGCGUGCCGACGAGGGCGACGCCGACGACCAUGUUGUUGACGCUCAUGGGCAGCGUGCCGGGCUUGCUCUUGGAGGCGUCGGAGUCGUUGAGGUUAUCGAACGGGUAGUAGAGGCGACCCAGCAGCUUGGAGACGGUGGAGAUGCAGAAGAGGUCGUAGGCGUCGGUGAAGAAGCCCAUGCCGGCAAUGACGAUGGCCUUCAUGUGGUACAUCUGGGUGCGCGCCGAGUCCAGCGCGUCCAGCACCGCCAGGUUCGGCCCGGCCGCCGGCGCGUCCGCCAUCUCGAUCGCCGCCGCACACAAGUCAGGCGCCGACGACGGCAGGGGUGUUUGCGCGUGGGUGCGAGUAGUGCGGCUCGAUCGAUCCGUGUUCUUGGUGCUUUGGCUGCUUGCUGGUUCGGGCUCAAAUAGCCGGCGACGUGCCCGGUAGGAACCGGGGAGGCCAUCACAAGGUCGAUGAACGAGAGGGGGGCGUCUGCAACGAGGCGAACCCCGUCGUCAUCCGCGUCCCCUGUCUCGUGCUGGUUGGCAGCAUAUUCCGCUCGAGCACUAUGCUCGAUCUACGCCCCGAGAGCGAGAUCGAUGAGGCUGUGAACUUGUGAUGGAUCGGGCAGUGGUUAUGGACGGAUACUAUACGGACCUGCGGUCUUGUGUCUCGUGCGAUCAACCGGGAGACCGCAGCUGGGGAUCGUUCGUCGCUAGCCGGACGCGCGUAGUCAACUAAGAAGCAAUCGUGUCGUUUCGACCGGGAUAUUCGACAGCGAGUCUGCCGCCUGCCGAUUGGCGAUGGGCACCAUAUGGUUUCCUCACAGUUACAGGCCAACUGUCCAAAUCAUAAAUCAUGCAGGAUGCUACGGUAACAGAAUAUCCAAGUUACAUUGUCUUUUACCUCAACUUGCUCGUGAUUCUGAAGCAUGUAUCUGUGCAGAUAUUAUUUGGCCAGUUAACCAAGGUAGGCAUAGGCAUUUGUUUAGAUAACUAAUUAACAGGCCUGACUACGUUAAUGUGGUUGCUAAAUGAUUAGUUUGCUGAGUAUGUUGGUUUUUUUAGUAAAUAACUUGGUUUGAUUGGUCCAAUGUUAACCGUGCCGCUAAUGAAGAUAUGAUUAGUGCGUAAGCUAAGUUAUUUGGCACAGGAUGGUUUGGGUAUUGGACCGGCCAAUAAACCUUUUGUUUUGCUGUUAGUCUGAUUGCAUUGGUAGUGUUAGUUGAAUUAACAGGUGAUUAAUCGGCGUCGUGUAGUCAGCUAGUUGAUUUGACCGAUUAACAUAUUGAGACAUUUUAUAUUUCUUAUUUUGUCAUGCAAGAUGCAGGACGAACCGACAUUUUCUUAUUUCGUCACGCAGGACGCAUGAUCUUGUCUUUAGCACUUGACUGGGUCCACCUAAUGCAAGACAUCAUGAGAGAAUAAGUUUGAAAGUUUACUCGCGGUUUCUAAAUUUUAGGUUGUUUUAAUUUUAUUCUGUCUUACUUUAAUUAAGUUUAUAUAAAAUAUAUUAACAUCUACGAUAUUAAAUAAAUGCACUAUCAAUAUAUGUUACAUAGUGUAUCUAAUAAAACUAGUUCGAGGUUAUAGAUAUUUGUAUAUUUUUCUAUAAAUUUAGUAAAAUCUACAGAAGUUUUAUUUAGGAUAAAUCUAAAAUCAUAAUUCCUUUACUUUGUAUGUCAUCCUUUCAAUAAAAAUAUAUAUUGUAUAUAACUUGUACAUGUAGUUUUGUUUACCAGAACAGCUGUAUAAUGGAAAGGAAUUUUUUGCAUAGGGAGCGACUCAACAGGGCCAACUAUUCAGGCCCAGUGAAAGAACACUGGCGAAAAACACGGCUCCCUAUGCAUCACUGGGCCUGAAGAAUUGUUGCUAUGUUUGGGCUGAACCCGGGCUGUGGAAUCUCUCGGCCUGCCUAUUAACUACAAGGCCCGUUCAAAACAAAUGGCAUUGGACUAUGCCUCGAAUCCUCUAUGCGUUCAUUCUUCUUCUUUCUAGGGCCCUUAGUGGGCGAUCGCUCGCCGCGGGGCAGUUGCGACGAACGAGCGUUGCCAGUAGCUAGCAACGCGCGUGCAUACGUAAUAGAUAGCAACGAGUAUUUUUAUUCCCUCCACAGCUGUUGCUACUCGCGGGUUCCCAUUUCCCAGGUCAGGCUUCAAAACAUGUGCGUCUAAUUUUCUCUUCUCCGACCAGCUGCCUGGCCAGGCUUCAAACGUUCGUGGCAGCGAUUGUCUCUUCGGUUCUCAGUUCCCGUGCUCCUUCUGAUCCGCAUCUAAUUUCUUUUUCGGGACAGUGGGUCAGUGGGUGUGAGAAUGAAAAGGUGACGCUUGGUUUCUUUGCUUAUUUUUAAACACGUGUCACAUUGAAUGUUUAGAUACUAAUUAGGGGUAUUAAACGUAGACUAUUUACAAAACNNNNNNNNNNNNNNNNNNNNNNNNNNNNNNNNNNNNNNNNNNNNNNNNNNNNNNNNNNNNNNNNNNNNNNNNNNNNNNNNNNNNNNNNNNNNNNNNNNNNAUCAUUAGCAAUGUUUACUGUAGCAACACAUUGUCAAAUCAUGGACUAAUUAGGCUUAAUAGAUUCGUCUCGCCGUUUAGCCUCCACUUAUGUAAUCGGUUUUGUAAAUAGUCUACGUUUAAUACUUCGAAUUAGUAUCUAAAUAUUCGAUGUGACGGGUGCUUAAAAACAAGCGGAGGAUUGUUUGACAUACAUAUACAUGUGGACAUAUACAUGUGGACAUUAAAGUAACCUUAAUUUUUUUUACAAAGAUAACAAUCUGUUUUCUUGAAAAAAAAGAAAAUUUUUAACUCUACACGAAGAAAAUGCCCGAUAUGUUUAACUCUUUUAUAUUGCAAAUUGAAGCGUAAAAAUUAUAAAAAAGACAAGGGAGCAGGGGGUAAACAAGUUAUGGGCUGCCAUGUUAACAACACAAAAACAAACUGCUUGACCACCCUCUGCACCAAACAUUGGCAUGAUCUUCAUCUACGAGCUGUAUCCUCAAUGACAGAAACCAACGGUGAUACUCUGAGAAAAUCAAAAGGAGAAAAAAAAAGUGUAACUCUUGUGCAAAAGUUCUAUAGUUGGACAAGAAAAUAGACAAAGAAAACUUGCACGCGUGUUUAGUAUUCUCUUUUUAUCUACAACAGUAUCAUCCUUUUCAUUGCAUGGAUAGGUCAACAGAUAGCCGGACAAGCAGGUGUUUUGCAUCUUCCUUUGAAAAAGAAUUUCUAUUUAAGGACCUGUUUGGAUACCCUGUGUUAAAAUUUAACAAAUGUUAAAGUUUUAACACUCUCAGGGCCUGUUUGGUUCCUCUUGCUAAACUUUAGUUGCUAAAAGUUGCUAAACUUUAGUUGCUAAACUUUAGCAAAAGUUGUUUGAAUACUCUUGCUAAAAGUCAUUUGAUGAGCUGUAAAAAGACCUAUAUACCCUUAUUAAAGAUGCGCAGGAGGGGGGAGACCAGCAAUAAAUGAGGGGUAUAGGUUGUCCGGCCCACCUUUUAGCAAGUUUUAGCAACCAAAAACUUGCUAAAGUGCUAAACUUUAGCAACUCAACUUUAGCAAGUUUUAGCAAGGGUGUUUGGCAGUUUAGCAGCUAAAAGUUGCUAAACUUUAGCAACUAAAGUUUAGCAAGGUGGAACCAAACACCCCCUCAAAUACAGUGCUAAAGUUUAACAUAUUGCGGUGUUUGGAUGAUGUGUUAAACUUUAACACCUUUGGUGGGAAAUGACUCCAUUGCUCCCUCAUUUAUGGCCGGCGGAGAGAGAGGGAGAAGAGAGAAGGGGUAACCUGGGAAAAAGUGAAGAGAGGGACCACUUUUAACACCUUUAGCAAGUUUUAACACCCCCUCCAUGUGUUUAUGAAAAAUGAGGUGUUAAACUUUAACACCCCACUUUUAACACAAGUGUUUGGAUAGGAAAGUGUUAAAAGUGGGGUGUUAAACUUUAACACCCCUUCUCAAACAGGACCUAAAAAUGCUCCACGUAUAUUAUUUAACCUUGUCGUAAACACAGAAAAAUAAUAAAAAAGGAAGCAAAUGCACUAUGAAUGUUGGAACUUUCUACUAGCCUAUUUCAAACAUCGCAUACCUAAAUAUAAACUUUGUUAUUGUAAAUUUUACACUCUAAAUUCAAAUGCUGAAUACUUGCACACUUCAAACAUUAUCUGUCGAUAUUUCAUACUGCCAACUAGUGAUCGUAAGCCGCCAUCUCCUCACUUCCGAUGGCUAGCACACAAGAGACAAGGGGUUAUACUGGUUCGAAAAGAUCCCUACGUCUAGUUUUGGCAGAAGUCGUGUUUCUCGGAUCAAGUGCACUGGGCUUAUAAUGGGAUGCUUGUAAGUAAGCGUUCGUGCGAUGCGUGGGGGUGUGUGUGAAUGCGAGAGAGGAGGAAGAAAGGCUCAGUUCCCUUUAUAUAGACCAGGGAUCGAGAAAAAAUGUUUGGAGAAAGGAGUGGGUUCCCCAACCUCAGAGGUCGGGGUGUGUAGCAUGGCCGGGUCGGCCUUGCACUAGGGGGCUUCCUUAUCUUGUCCUCUUGGCCGGUCGUGGGCUCCGCAUGUCUUGUACGGUGGCUCCUGUGCGGUGUGGGCCCCUUAUGCAUGGCCUGGCUUGCUUCAUAGCGUGCCCCUAUCCCGUCCGCCAACCCCGUGGCAAUGAACAGGACGGGAGCUGCUGCUAACGUCCGUACCGAACAUGAGUGUCUGAGCAUUUGGUCAGCGGCCCGGAUGGGGCGUGCCGCUCAUCCCAGCUUUCUCCAACCUCUUUAGUGCGCUCAUGGCCUCUCCACAUCGUAACGCCUGUCGUUGGGUCCCGUCUCGCCUGCGGGCACGUACCGGGUCUAGCGUUUUGGCAUGGCUUUGAUCUUGACGGGUCACCCUGGUGGCGAGGGCGAUGAUAACGUCGGGGCGCGUGGGCACAUACGACCGCGUGUGGCCUCGUGCUGCCAGCUGUCCUGAGCGGUUCGAAGGGUGUGGCCUCAGCCUCAAAAUCCCCGACUAAAGGUCAGCUCCCUCCGCUAGGUCAUGUCCCCAUGUAGGGCGGUCAGGGGGGCCACGCCCCGCAUUUAAUGCCACAAGUAUGGCAUCGGUCACCCUUGGUCAAGGAGUGGGUGGGGCAUUGUGGGCCUCUUGCAGGCCCCACCCUUGGUUUAGCUAAGGUGGGCCGUGGCGUCUCCUGAGCCGCCUCCAAUAUGCUCCUGCGGUUGGACCCCCAGCCUUUUGUGUGUAGCUAUCUAGAAUCCCUUCCUCAGGAUACCCUUGGUACAUGCACCCAUCAUUAUCAUACAUAACUUUGUAAAUCCAAACUUUGCACUAUGAAUUUAGGAACUCUGUACCAUCGCAUAAUAAACUUCACACUUAUAGCUAUAAAAUUUUGUAAUUCUAAAACUAUAUAGUCAAAAUCCUAAAACUUUGUACUAGCAUAUUUUGAUAUUCUUGUUUACAGACCUAAUACUCUGUAAAAAGUUUGUACACCUAUAGCUUUCAAAUAAUAGGCAGGGGACAUUUUACUGCCCAUACAAAAACUUUCUACAUCUUAACCAUUAAAGAUCAUAGAAAAAAAAAAUUGAAUCAUAAAACCCCUUUGGAACAUUGAACUAACCCAUUUCAAACAUUCCAAAGUUUAUUAUAAAACUUUAUACUCUAAAUUCAGUGGCUUAUUACUUGCAUUUCCAACAUUGUACUUUUAGAUAAGAAAACUUUGUAAUUUCAAAUUUUGAAAUUUAAACGUACAUUGUAUAAUUAUUUUUAAGCUUGAUGGUCCAAGCAGAAAUUAUAUUUUUUCUAACUUAGCCAAACAUUCUACUAGGAUAUUUCAAACUUUGCUCUCCCAAUUUAAGAAUGUUCUAUUAUCAUAUUUUAAAAAGUUGUAUUGUAGUUCAGAAAAGUUUAUGAUUCUAAAAAACACUGGACUCCGAAAUAUAGGAACCUACAACAUCAUAACCUUUGUACAGCGAACUAUAAAAGUUUUAUGCUUCCAAAAUGUUUAGCUUCUAAAUGUAGUUACUUUAUACCAGCUUUUAUAAAUUCUAAAAACACAAAGCAAAGCCUACUACAUAGAUAUAUACAAAUUUCAAAACAUUCAGCCUAGAAAAUUGAGGACAAUUCAAGUCACAUGAGAUUUAAAAAUUUUGGAUCCAGACCCAAACCAAAACUGAAAGUAGCAAUUUUAUCAUAUUAACAUUGCAAACUUUGUAAUCAAGUAUUAAAAAAUUGCCUACAUCUAUAGCUUCUAAAUAAUAAAAUCAAAUGCCUUAUGUGUAGAAUACCUUAGGUGUAGAAUACAAGAAAGUUAAAUCACAAAGUUAAAAAGUUUAUACAUCUCUAGCUUCCAAACAAUAUAUAAAAUACUUUGUAUUGGGAAUACAAAAUUUUUGAAAAUAUGUACUGAAAACUUCAUACAUCUCCAACCUUGUACUCGGAAUUAAAAAACUUUAUGUUCAUAGUUCAAAAAAUUUAAGCUACAUGAUUAGAAUGUCUCUGUUACCUGACUUUCAAGCUACAUAUGCAACACUUUAUAAUAGAAUAUGAAAAGCUUUUCACUAAUACACCUAAAAAUUUCUAGAAUUCCUAAUAUUAAAUGUACAUAUUGGAAACUUUUAUAUUUGUCUUUAAAAAAAUUUAAUUGACCAUGUGUAUAAACCUUUCUAUUUGUAGUUCAAAAAAAUUCAAGCUACUUGAUUAAAUAAUUGUCUUCCAUGUCUUUCAAUUUAUAUUCAACACUUUGUGAUUGAUAAAUUAUUACUUUCUAACUACAGAUCUAUAAGUUUACACAUAAAUUCAGAAGUAUUUCGAGACAUAUCCUAAAAACUUUUAAUAACCCCAGCUUUGAAGAU